AUGAUUGGUGUACAUUAUGAGGAUAAUCAUGUUGCAACUGGUUUUGGUAAUCACCUUGCACGACCAUUCUCAGGGAGGAAUGGAAUGAAAACUUGACCUUUGAAGAAGGUGUCAAGCUAUUGGAGAAGUGCAUGCGCGUCCUCCUUUAUCGUGAUAGAUCAGCUGUGAACAAACUCCAGGUAUGGUUAUUUUUGGGAUAGUCUGCAAUGAUGAUAGCUUCUUGAUUGUGUGUUUUAACCCAUAUUAUAUGCUAGUGUUUCGUAUUAUUUCCUUUGAUACAAUUUUAUUCUUUUUACUUGGUAUAUGUUUAUAUUCGGGCUGGUUUUUCUUCAAGCAUCUUUGACAAAGGUUUUGUUUUUGGUAAAAAAAAAGGGUAAUGUCAAAUAUUGAGAAGCAGGAAUCUUGUCUGUGAAAGAAGUCAUCAUAACCCAACUUGCUUAUAUGACGUUAUAUUUGAGAUACCUUUCUGGUGCUUAAUUUUCCAAAUCCUGCUUUAUGUUUCAUGUAUGAAACAAAAAGAAAAUAAAAUAGAUCUUACUAACGGCAGUUGGGUAUCAUUCUCAUCAAUUACUGCUCAAAGAAUUAUUUUCAUGGUCAAGAACAGUUAAACAUUGCUGGUUUUAACUUUUUUUUAUUAUCUUGAAUGAGACUUCAGAACAUCUGUUUGAAUUUGACGCGACCUUUUAAUGCCAUUUUAUGCAGUAGACCAUUCAACUCCGAAAUAUUACCAUGCCCAUGUUUUAAUAUUCAUGUUUGAUUCCAUUUGAAUGGAUUUAAACCUUUUGUUUUCACUUAUAUUUAUUUUGGUGCGUCAACACUUUGACUUGGGGAAUUUGCAGAUUGCAAAAAUCACAGAUGAAGGUUUCACAAUUUCUCAGCGCGUAUUCAUUGAAGACUCAGUGGAAGUUUAAAGCUUUCGAGAAUCCAACAGUCGGUGCUGAGGGCUCAUGGUAGUCAGCUCUCUUGUGUGCAAAGGAAAUCAGUGUGUUUGGAAAUAUGCACUUGAAACGCGACCUUUUAAUGCCAUGUUAUGCAGUAGACUCGUGGGUUACAGCUCCCAAACACUGUUGUUCUUCUAGCGGACUUAUUUGCUUGUGUUUGUCACAUGAUUUAGAGACAUUGAUAAUGCUCUAGACGGUGAUGACUUUGGAUUGAGUUUGUACUUCAGUUUGUGAAAAUUCAUGACUGGGAAUGGAACCAUCCUUAUGCCUCUGCCAAGUCAUGACAAACUUGUCACAAUCUGCAAUACAUUCAAAAUAAAUUCCUAGAACCUUAAUAUGUUGCAGUCUAGGAUAAACAGAUUCCAAAUGCCUCUUCUUUUAUGUGCAGAUUUUGUCCCACAACCUGCAAACCUUUCGUCCCUGGAGUGGCGGUUGCUGCCUGUAGUUCUUUACUACUUAUUGGACUAGCAGUUGCUUUCAUUACCCAAAAAAGGAAAGCAGCCAUCUUUUUCGUUUGUGUUUUUUCUUUGAGCGAGAAGAAAGUUGCCAUCUACUAUGUAGGAAGUCUUUAAUUGUGGAAAAUUGAGAAAGGUUUUCAAAAUAAUGAUUGCGUUGACUGAUGAUAGUUGCAAGAAUUUUAGAAGGAAUAUAUGAACUUGAAAACUAAAAAUAAUUCUUUGGACGAACUACUUACAAUUUGAAGCUUUUUUUUUUUCCACUCAUGGAAAAUUGGCCUUGUUUUCUUGUACAAUUUACUCUGUCAUUCAAGUCGUCGAAUGCUUUUAUAAUAACCAUGAAUUAUUGGACUGCUAUUAUUAUUUUUUAAUCUUGUUCAAGAAUUCGCCAAUCACACUUGAUGAUCAUAUGAAGGAAAUUUUAAAGUUUAAAAGAACCUGUUUAACUAUUCACAAUCUCACUUAACGAUCAUAUGGAGGAAAUUUUAAACUUUAAAAAUCAUGUAAAAAUUUGUGGUGAUAGUGUACGGAUUGAAAAUUGUACAAUUAAAAGAUUUUGGAAAAAUUUAAACAAAAUCAUCAAAAUUAAAUUAUAGACUUACUAAAGGUGAAACAACUCAAGAAGAAAAAUUAGGAGGAAUUGACUUUAAUAAAAAAAAUGUCCAAGAAUGUAUUAGUAAAUAACCUUAUAAAGUUUUAUAAAAAAAAAAGUUUAAUUAUUUUAACUUUUCUAACAACUAAUGUAUAUGAGAAAAUUAGUUGAAGGAUCUCGUCGAGAAAAAUUUUAUUAUAAAAUGUCCAAAUAAUGUCCGAUAUUUUUGUUAAUGCUUAAUAAUUACUUGAUAAUUCAAGAAGUCGAGGACUGGGCAAAUUCGCAUAAUCGAUUCUGUAUCCGUCUUUAUAUAUAUAUAUAUAUAAAUCUAUCACUGUUAAACGUUAGAGACACAUUCGCAAAAACCCAAUAGUGAAUCCGCCACCACCCGCAGGAGAUGUUGAGCAACCACAGGAGUAUCACAAGAAAUAGCUCAGUAAAGUUGCUCUUUCAAUCCAUUUUGUGUUCUCAAUUCAUCUGUGAUUAUACCAUGAAUUUUUUAUGACUUAUUCUUGGUUUUUCUUCUUCGUUUCUCUGGUGCAUUUGUGGGAUCGGUUUUCAUUGGGUACCAACUAUUUGAUAAAAGUCCCCAACUGAAAUUCAGAGAGAGGGGAUCAUUUAAAAAAAAAAAAAAUUUUGUUAUUGCUUAUUUUAGGUGAUUUCUAAUGAGCCCCAGUUGGAUUGUGUAGGUUUGUGCGUGCUCGUUGUGAGAAAAAGACAUAGCAGACCAGCUGCCAAGAAGAGCACAAACAACAGUUGUCUAAGACUGUCUAAGAUCAUAAACAACAGUUGUCUAAAGUAUUUUUUGAGCUCUCCAACCUCAUUGUUGAAAAAGAAGUAAGCAAGGAAAAGAUGCCGCAAGUGAAAAUCGUCGCGAAGAAUUUUAUGGACAUGGUGGCUUCAUUGCCUGCAAUGAAGCUUGACAAACUUUAUCAGAAUGCCUUUAUUUGUCAAGCUAUCCUUAGGUUAGAACUGUAAAUCCUCUAUCAUAACGCCUUAGUUUCUGGGUAACAUUUCGUGUGUUUUAAGAUUCGUUAAUGCACUGUUAUUGGUUGUUAUGCUUAGAUCAAUGCCGCCAUUGGCAAAGAGGUAUGUUCUACAAUUGCUGUUCAUAGAUGCGCCUGUGACUGGUAAAAUGUUGGAAGAGUCUGUGCUUGCGGAUGGGUUGUCAAAGCACAAAGUAGCUAUUGAUAGAUUAGUUCAGCUGAGAGUAUUGACUGAAGCUCUUGACCGGUAAAUUGGACCCCUUUAGACCUUUUUUGUUCUUAAUUUUUAUUUUAUUUAAUCUAAAGAGUGAUAUUGUUGGCGUAAUUCUUGUUGAUAUCUGAGGAAACAGUGUUUGUUUCAGCAUGAAAGGUCUGUAGAGAGACAGUGCAAAGUUGUUUUUAGUCUUUCCAUACAGAUAAAUUUGAUCGUGUUAUCUAUGUAUAACUCAUUCUAAAUUAAGUUAGUUUGGGAUAGAAAUAUUUUUUCCAAUUUUCAAUAUAUAAAGUUGAGAAAUUUAGGAUUCCUAUGGAGAGAAACAAGGAUUUUUAUGGACAUGAAUGAUUGUAUAGUUUAGUUGGUAUAGAAAUGCUUUUCUAGCUUCCAAGAUACAAUAGUGAGAAAAUUAGGAUUGUUAUGAUGAUAGCUGAAGAUUUGUAUGGACAUGAAUGAUUGUCUUUUUGUUUUGCAAAUAUUAUUUUUUUUGUAUGAAUUAGCAAAGUUGUCAGGGAAGACCGUGGUAAAUACAGUCAUAUAUUUAAGAGGAAUUGUCUUCUUUUAUCUUUUUCUGUUUACUUUCAAACUCAAAGUGCUAAGGCAUCGUUUGACUUGAAAGUUUGUUAAUGAACCUUUGUUUUAGAAACUAAAUUAUGAAGUUCCAUAGAUGCCAUGUUAAAACUAUUUGACAGAUACAUGGUUAAUUUCUAAUGUGGUCCUCCCUUCUUCUUCUUAGUAUGAGAUUUUUGUUCUUCAGAAGUCAAUUAGUGAUACAAAUGAGUAAUAUAGAGCAUCAUGAAGAAGAAGUUACAUGGCAGAGGCUACUGCAUGACCUUCCUUAAACAUGUAUAAGCAAUAUUUUUUUUUUCAAUCAUAUAUAAGCAAUAUAUGCAUAGCUGCUUUUUGUGUAUGCCAUCCAGUUAUUCAUUUUGUUGUUUUGACCCAAAAUAUGUCUCAAACUGUGAAUAUCUGACAACAUCAAAUUUUUAUCAACGCUGUUUCUAAAUUAGUCUUCUUAGGCCAUUGGUUAUUUCCUUUGAUGGUUUGAUUGCCUCUUGUUUAUUCCCUUUCCACUGGACUUGGCUCACCUGCUAAAGAAAGCUAUUCAUCAUAUUUGCAGGAAAAAAGAAGCUACUUACAGAAUGAACCCUACAUUUCAGAUAAAUGUUCAAAAGCUUAUUGUGCAUGGGUAAGAAUUAGAUCUAUCAUGUGUGCUUUGUUGUUUUAUUCACAAUUGGGAGAUGCUUUAAUGGGUCUUUUCCCCCAUUCAUGUUGGAAGAGGUUGUUAUAUCUGCAUAGACAUACAAAUAAACACACACACAUGCACGCACAUGUAAAGGUCUAUAUAUAUGCAUAUGAAUAUUUAUAUAUAUGUAUAUAGGUCUAUCCUCUUAUUGUUCAGCCAGAUAUUUACACAAAGUAAGUUCCAUCGCCAUUAAGCCAAAUACAACAGAAACAGACAAGAGAGCCUGUAAGGACCUAUGAGAACAACUAUAUAUCAGAAGAGCAACAUGUCCACAAUUACUAAUAUUGUUAACUGUCAAAAACAGAAAAGGGUAUACUCAGCUCAGAACAUAAAGAGUAGUUUCCUACAGUUUGUGGAAUUCUCUGCUAUCCAGCAACUAUUAUCGUAAUUUCCUUCAAUAUCCUCUGGAUGAGCAUCUCUGGGGGGACAAACAGUUGACUGAACACCUUUUUGUUCCUGUUACACCAAAUGUGAUAAACUGUGGCUGCAAAGGUUACCUGAAUUACCUGGUUAUUGAAGCUAUCUUGGGAACAAUGCCUGAUCAUCCAUUGAAGUUCAAUCCCUACCCUGCAGCACUGCUGUACACCAAACACCUAGACUAAACAUACUGCCACACUUGAGCAGAAGAGGGGCAUAAGGAAAAUAGGUGGCUAAGAGUUCCUCUGUGCCAUAACAUUACUCACAUACAGGAUUAAUAUCAAUUCGCCCAAGAAUAAAAUCUAUCCUUUGUGAACAGCCUUUUGUGACAGGCAAGUAAUUAUGCUUUCUCCCCCAAAAAUUAGAGAACCAAGGAACUUUGUUUCCCGGAGGGGCUAAGUGCCUCAUGGCUGAUUUAGCAGAAUAGACGACCUUAGAAUCAACAGUCCAGGUUGUAUAAUCUGGACAGUCAUGCAUAGGUAAGAGCUGAGGUGGAGUAGAUUCCAUUAGUUGCAGCAAUUCACUUCUUCUUCUUCUUUUGUAUGGCCAAGUCCAGCUAUCAUCCCAGAUAAUAGCCGGGACUAUCAUUUUCAGAGCUCCUCAGAAGUGUAGGGAGGAGAGAACUCAUCCUUCAAGGGGCCUAAUGAAUGCCACCAGUCAAGGAAAGAUUGAGAACUAUCCCCAAAUGAUCAUUUUAAUACAAUCACGAGCAACAGGCCUUAAUUUCAGUAUCUUCUUCCACCACCAAGAGCUAUAUGACAUGGCUUGGACAUUCCACAAGCUCCCAUUUUUCAGCAAGUAUAGAUGCACCCAUUUGAUCCACAGGGAAUCUUUCUCAUGAAAGAUAUCCAAAUGUGCAUCAGUGCAAGUGCCUUAGUCCAGACUUAGAAACUUUUGAGUCCCAGUCCUCCUUGUCAGAGAGAUUUAGAUGCUUCGACCUCGGGUUUUCUAAUAUCAUUUCUUCUUUCUUUUUUGCCUUUGCUCAUCUUCUUUUGCUUUGGGAGAGAAGGAGAAAUGUUUCUGCCUUUUUAAACUUGCUGGUAGUAGUUAUUGACGGUCAACUUGUGAGUUAUACAAUUGACAGCCACAGAAGCUGCACUUGUUAUCUAGAUGUUCUUGCAUAUAUUUUGAUUUGGUCCCUUUGCCAGUAACAAGAAGUGUGCUGGAUGGAAUACAAAACAAUCUUCUCUUCUAUUUUGUAUAAAUACAUGUUUAAAGAUAAAUAAUUGUGUAGGUGCAUAUGCUCUAAUAUCACUGAAGCAUUCUAGCUAAAUUUGAGUUCUUGUGCCAGAAACUUCUUUCUGAGUUAGUUAUCCUAUGCAGUAUUCUUGCUGAAUAUAUGCACCUUUGUAAAACCUGUAUCCCUUUAUAUUGUGGCAGUAUUGCAGUUGCUGUGUCUUCUUUGCAUUUGUUGAGCAAAUAAUAUAUGCAUGACCGGUAGACUGAAUAUUUCAGUGGAGUUUUGCCAAGAGAGCCUAUGCCAUCAACUGCUGGUUUCAGGCUGCCUAGCCUGGAGGAGUUGGAUGCCUAUGCAGUUCAGCAAUGGGAGGUAUGAAGUCAUCUGUAUCUUAACUCUGCUAUUGCAAAUGGAAGUGUAGGAAUCGUUGUUUCUUUUCCUAUCCGAAUGUUUGACGAGUUAGUGUACUUGCUAUUUGUUCUGCAGUUUCAGUGAUUGGUAAAUAUUUUGGCCACUGUUUUAAUAAUAACUGGCUUGGCAAAACAGUGUUUUUUGCUGCAUCUGAUAAGCUCCAGUGUAGCUGAAAAGGCAACAACAAAUAUCAGCUCUUCCAUGAUGAAAGUUUUUCAACGUGGCCUUUUGAGUCAGAAGUAAAUCUACUACUCGGGUUUUUCAUACUUUUUCAAGUUUUGAAUAAAAUGAUUUAAGAGGUGAUCAAUAUUAGCACGUAUUGUUAGCAGAGAUGACAAAGAACCUCCAAGAUUGACUGAAGGUGGUUUUCAAUUCUUGGUGAGUGGGAAUCAAGUUUUCUCAGCUAUGUUACAUUUAUGAAAAUAUGCUGAUUCAUGAUUGUGCCAGCUGAUGGAUACAAAUGCACAAUUGUGGUAUAUCAUCAGGGAAUAUAUCGGCAACUCUGAGGUAUCAGUUCAUGAGGCUUUCUUUGUCUUAUGUGGCUUUUGGCUUUUAUUUUCACUUAGAUAAUCCAGCGUGCAAUGUCAUCCUUGCAAGAUUAAGAAAAAUUUGAAUAGUAAAUAGAAUUCAGUCUAUUUUAAACUAGUUUUAAAGUUUGCAAGGUUGCACGAUAUUUUUUUCAAUCAUAUUGUAUGCAUAUUAAUGGUACUUGCCUUUGCUAAUGAAAAUCUAGUAAUUUAAAUGUCAACAGAUAUGAAGUUAAUAUGCGGUGCAAGUGCAUAUGAUGUAGUUAGCUCAAACAGAAUGCUCAAGUUUUGCUUUUAUUAUCCAAAGCGACACCUUGAAAGUGUGAAAAAGAAAAAUAUUGAAUAUGUAUUUCUCCAUGAAAGUCUUUUCAAAAUUUACUAUGCCUUGACUUUUUUAGAAUUCAACAAUUAUACUGAUAGAGAUUGUUCAAAGAAAUUUCUUGGCUCAAUAAAUUAUUGGGCAGAUCUGAAGACCAAAGAAUCGGAGUGGAUAAAUGUUCUCCUUGGUUAAUUGCUGUUCCCUCAUUAAUCGAGACUGAGCUUUUGUCUUUCCAAUAAGACCUGCGAUAGAUGAAUGGAGGUUAAUAAGCCAUAUGGUUCAAAUUCAUGAACCAGGAAAUCAGUGGGGAUCAUAUACUUCAAAAAUGGCAUGGCUUUACAAAUCUUUCCUUUCCUUUCCCUCCUAUUCCUUUAAUGCACAAAUUACCUUAAAAUGAGUUCGAUAGAUUUAUCAAGUAGCAGGCUUUAAUUUUGACACCCUUCCCUGACCCCUGCAAACAACUAUGCCAAUCGCCACACCCAAUGAAGUGCAAAUCCACAAUAAACUGUAAACUUUAUUAUCUGAACCAUAGUUUUGUGCUUCCAGGGUGAUCCUUUUAACAUCCAUGCAAGGACAAAAAGAAUGAUUAUGUUUUGCUACUUGUGAUAUUGGAGUGAACCUUGCACCAACAAGAGAAAAAUAAAAGGGAAACGAGAAGAAAGGGAACUAAAAACUAUACACUGCUUUUGACAAAAUUGCACUAGUUGUGUUAUUGAGUCGUUAGUCUUGUCAUCUUUCAAUUACAUAUCUCAGGUGGAUUAUAUUUCUAAUUGAAGAUUUGAAUCUUUUCUGAGCUUUGUUUUGGUUUAAGAUAUAAAACUGCACUGAAAUCUUCUUUUAGGGCUAAGAAAAUGCUGUUAGUGAUUGAGCCUACAACUAUGACCAACUAAAAGGUUUUAAAUACUACUGACCAACGCUUUAGCCUUUUACUUGUAUUCUUCACCUUGGUGCAGGAGCGAGGCCUGGACUCAGCGGAUCUUGUAUCCUUUCUUCUGGAACUAAGCUUCCAUGCUACUGGAGAGGUAUUAAGUAAGAAUGUUUGGUUUCAUCAGUUCUAUUGCUUGAUCAGCUACUUUUUCUAAGGGGUUGGGAAACUAUAUUGGUUCCAUCACUUUGUGUAAGCUGAUUUUUGGCAUGGACAUGAUUUUGGUCCCACUUUUUAUCCCCUGAAAUAUUUUGUAACUUGUCAGUAUACUUGUCAUGAUUUGAUUUGAUUUAGUUCUGAAUGUAGGCUUAUAAUAUAAACACAUUGAGUGAUAUACAGAGGACUAUAAUUAGGGAUCUUGCUGAUUUGGGCCUUGUGAAGCUUCAGCAGGUAAUGUUAGUUGCGCUUAUUGGGUGUUUCAAAUGCUGGUCUUCUAGAAUUUUUGCCACCUGCAGUUCUUAUUGUGUUGGCUCUUUAUCAGGGAAGAAAGGAGAGUUGGUUUAUCCCACAAAGUUGGCUACAAAUCUAUCUAUCAGCUUAUCAGAUACAUCAUCCAGGAAACAGGUAAUUCUAGCCUAUCUGCGAUAUUCUAGAAUUUUGUUUGUUUACCAUGCUGUCCAGCGUUACUCCCAAUUAUCUGUGUUCUUAAAAAAAAUUGUGCUUAUCAUUGUUUGGACUGGACAUUUCAAAGGAACUUCCUCUAAACGGAUUUGCUUGUACAUUUCUUCAGCUAACUUAAUAUAUGUCAUAGCUUCUCAGUUGACUUUGAUGAAAUAGCAGAUUUUUUUUACUGAUUAUUAUUCAACUUUACUCCUAUCAGGGGUAUGUCGUUGUAGAGACAAAUUUCAGGAUGUAUGCAUAUUCAUCUUCCAAAUUGCACUGUGAAAUCUUACGUCUAUUCGCCAGGUAUGAAGUUACCGUGCUUGCUUAAGUUUCUUGAAAUCAAUAUCAUUGAGGAAGAAAAGAUAAAAGAUAUACUUGAUAUUCUUGAUGAAAAUAGAGUUUUUUUUUUAAACAGUUUUAUGUGUAUAGUUUAUAUCUUCUCAUGAGAAAUGCUUUUGUAAGUGAGCAACUAUUCACAAGGAUAUUUUGCAGAGCAGUGUAGAUAAUUAUGUUAUGUUGUACCAAAUUGAAACAAGUCUGUCGAGACCGGCUAUAUCUAGAAACGUACUCCAACAAGUUUAAGUUACAUAGAAGUUUAGAUCUUGACCAAAUGAAGAGGUUGGAGUACAGUUUUUGGCCAUCAUUCAUGGUUGCUCUGCUUACUAUGUAUGCAGAAAAUGACUGAAACUACUUAUAACCCUUAAAUUUCCUAGCUUGCUAGCCAUCUGCAAAGUCUUUUACUGGAUGAGGUCCUAGUCAGCUUCUGCAGACAUUAUUCUCAUACAUCUUUGAACCUUGGGGGAAUACAUUUUUACAUAGACCCUCCUGCAACUUGUGACACUAGUAUAUCUUGGAUGUGGUGACAAUCAGCUUCUAUGGCAGAGAUUCUCAUCCAUCUUUGAACCUUGUACAUUUUGUCAAAGAUCCUCCUGAAAUUUGCCUCGAUAGUUUAGCUUUUAACACAACAUUGAUCUAAAUGUUUAUGCCAGGUUUAAUUGUCCUGUCCUGUAAACUGAUAUCUCUUGACUGCAUUUCCAGCAAUUAGGCAAAGCUUUGUCUUUACAGCAGGGUAGGGCAGCAGGAUUUUGGGAACCAUAGUUGGUAGAAAAGGGUUAGAAGAUAUAUAUAUAUAUAUUGUUGCUCGAGUAAAAUAUAGAGAAGACUUCAAAUUAUGUACGCUUGAGUUAAAAGGUGCGCUUGUCUAUAAUGUGAUAGUCAUUAAGGAUGCGAGUAGUCCAGAAUUAUUCCAGUUUUGGUUCUCAUAGUUGAGUUAACAAAACAAUUCUGAUAUUACAUAUUCAAGUUAAAAAGGUUAAAUUUCCUAGCACCAUCAGCAUUUCACAUGUUGAUCGUUGAAUCUCAAAGUAAUUGUGCCAAAGUUGCCCUUGAGCUUGUGUAAGGCUGCAUGUCAAGCAGGACUACGAGAAAACUUCUUUUAUACCAUCUCGUUUUUGCAAUCUUCUUCGCAAGUUGAUGCAAACCAGAUUGAUGUGGAGCAGACUUUGUAAAAGAUCCAUUAGCAGUUCUCUUCAGGCUUGAAGAAAGAAUGGUGGAAAAGUUCUAUGGGGUGAAAAUAAAACUGAAAUUUCUUUUGCAACUGAUAGUGCAAUCAAACAUCAAAGCUUUCCUUUUCUCUUGUUUUUUCGUAUUGCCUAUAGUCCUAUAGUGUGACCUGACUAUUUUUUCCCUAAAUUAUUUGAGCUCCACAUUUGCAUUGAGGAAUUAGAGAACCAUCCGUAGUUCCAUAUGGCCAUUUACUCGUAAAAAAUUGAGUUGUAUUCUUGUUGUUGGUUUUUCCUUCGUGCAAAUGAGAACUCAUCUUUCUUUGUCUAGUUUGUUUUUGGCUAGUCUUUCUCAUGUAGCUUUACAGGUUGCAGGACCUCAACGUAAUUGUUGAAGGACUUUUUUAUUUUUUUUUGGGUGAGAGGAGAGAGAGAGAGAGAUUUGGCUAACAUAGGUCUUGCAACUUCUGCCUACUGUGUCCCCUAUUUGAUAGUUUGCUGAAUGUAGUGAUAGUUUAUGGAGUUGAAUGAUAGUCUGACUUUUGACAAAAAAAAAAGAAACGAAAAGAAUGAUAGCCUGUCUUACCAUCUGGGAUACAAAGCUAGAUUGCAUAAAGGGAUUUAUGAUCAUCUCCUGAAAAGGAAGAAACUGUUUACUGGGAAACACACGUUACUGACUUCAAGGUCAUAUGCUUUAGUCCUUAAAUCCUAUUAUAUAAUUAUAUUGCUUGUCUCUUUAUAAACUGUCUGGUUGAAAUUACAGGGUUGAAUACCAGCUUCCUAACUUGAUUGUUGGAGCAAUUACAAAAGAGAGUCUAUAUAAAGCUUUUCAAAAUGGUAUAACUGCCGAACAAGUAAGUAUUUAUUUGGUGUUUUACAAGGUUUAAUGUUACUUGAAAUUUUUUCCUUCCAAUCUCAACUUCUGCAAUUUAUAAAAUGGUAUGUGGGAUUUCGAUGUUUUGAUACAAUGUGUGGAUUUAUAUAUAUUUCCAAAGAGAAAUGUAUGGUAGAGAGUGGUUUUCUUCUUAGGUGUGAUUAAUGAUUAUUAAGAGGCGUUCAUGCAUACUCUAGUUGUGGUUAAUUGGGCUUGGUCUUGUUCCCAUAGUUUCUAACUGAUUGUGCAUGUUUAACUUAAUAAUCAUAUUUUAACUAACUUUGUUAUGUAUAAAUUACACGAGCACAAAAAAUUUUUUGUUGUCACAAGACAUUUGUAUCUGUUAUGUGUGUUACAUUAUAUGAUAAAAAAUCAACAAGUUACUUGAACCUUUAGUAGCGAGUAGAAGUGGCAAAAUGGAUAUAUGGUUGAUAAAUGGUUUUAGUUAAAUAAAUAGUGGAUCAAAUUGAUCCAAUCCAAUUAAAACCAUUUAAUAAAUGGAUCUAAAUGGAUUCAUUUAAAUGGAUAAUGUAAACCAUGAUCCAUCCAUUUAUCCAUUUACUCUCCAAAUCCUAAUUUAAGAUCCAAAUAUUUUUUCCAAUAAAUACAGAUCCCCAAAGUUCUAUCCUUAAAUCACCUAAAACCUUUUGGUAAUAACAAAUGCUUGUACUACUACUCUAUUUUAGUACUUCAUAAAAUUAGUUUAGUUCCAAGAAAAUUUAACUGCUGUGGUCAAUUUAACCUUUCGUCAUUACUUUAAGUAUCAUUUUGUAAGUAAUGAACAAUUAAAACUUGGCUACAUUUUUAUAAUACUUGAAUGAAUUGAAUACGGCUUUACAGUGAAAAGAAGUUUACGUUUCCAAUUUUUUGCACUCCUGUUCAGAGUGAUGUCUUGAUAAAAGUGGAGUUCUAACAAGAAAUCUUAUUAUUUGACAAGUAAAAUAUUUUCAUCACAUGUGCACGUAGUACCUAAAAUGUAUGAAACUCCUUUUAUACCAUUGAUAUACAACUACCUUAUAUUACUUAGUAAAUUAGUGUCUUUUUUUUUUGGAUAAUUGGUUAGGUGAUAAGGGGAGAGAUUGCACAGUAUGAGGAUUUGAAAAAAAAAGUGUCAUUACAUUAUUUUAACCAAUGUUGCGAGGACACUCGUUAGAAAAAUUCUUUUUAUAAAUAAAAGAAUUAAAAAAAUAAAAUUAUUUUGACACUGCCAUGAUGCAUUCUCGCUUUUUCUUUACGAAUAUAAAUGUUUUGCAAUCAUUACUACAAGAGAGUUUAAUUAAAAAAAAAACAAGAGUAGAGACUAAAAUAUAAUUUUGAAAAGGAUGAAGAAGUCUAGGAAAUAGAAGCAAAUAAAAUGCAAUUAAUGUUAUUAGCAACUUGGCAUGUGAGGAAGUUAUGAAGGAAAGAAUAGGUGGUCCCACAAAAUUAAUUUGACAUAUGAGGAAGUUAUGAAGAAAAGAAUAGAUGUCCCACAAGAUUUUAUCUCACAUUUUUAUAAAUGUAUUUUCUAUUUUUUAAGUUAAAUGGAUGUAUAUGGAUAAGAUGGAUAAUCCAUUUAAAUCCACCAACAUAAUUGGAUUUAAAUGGUUAUCCAUUUAAAACCAUUGAAUUUAUAUGGAUCAUCCAAAUCCAUUUAGGGUUGGUUUAUAUGGAUGGAUUGGUGGAUAUGAAUCCAUUUUGCCACUUCUAGUAGCGAGUGGAACACAAGUUACAAUAGUUGAACAUUCUGGAAUUUAUUAGUUUAGUAUUCUUUCCCUAUGUGACUUGAAAGGAUCCAAUGCUUCAUUUUCUGGAUGUUGUCUGUGGUUGGCCCAAACAAGUUAUCGCAAAAAUGAAAAAGCAAUCUCUCUUUCCAAAAUAUUUUGCAGUCCUUCAAAAAUAAUGUUUGAUCUGUCUAUAGGAUGAGUUUGGGCGGCAUUUUAUUAUAUUUUCACUUCUAUGUUAAUAGUUUGUUAUUAACAAAUUAAAAAAAUACGAGAUCUUAUACAUGAGAGAGAUCAAAGUUACUAGUCUUUGGGAUAAGAUCUCAUGAUGGGUCUCUAAAUGUUUACUCAUUAUGUUUAGCGAGGGAUGUAGUUUGCAUAGGAUUUAGUUAAUUCUGUAGCUAGACAGUUAAUUAUGUACUAUGUCCUUUUUUAAUUAUUUUUUUCAAUAUUAGCUGGUCAAUUUACUAAUUGACUAUAAUGUCAUGCAGCAUUAUCUUUUGUCUCUGAAAAUCAUUCUCCUUUUUUGUUGCGGUAUUGCAGAUUAUUUCUUUUCUUCAACAGAAUGCACAUCCUCGAGUUGCAGAGAGAAUACCUACUGUGCCUGAGAAUGUCACUGAUCAGGUUCUUCUAUCUUGUGGCAUUUCAAUCUGAUAUGUUUUACAUCCAUAUUUGUUGCUUCUUUUUUUGAUGUUUCAUGCUUCCUGGUUCCACUGAAUGUAAAUCCUACAGAUGAGGUUGUGGGAAUCAGAUUUGAAUAGGGUGGAGUGUAUACCUGCACAUUUCUUUGAAGAGUUCCCCUCUAGGGUAAGCAUCAAAGCUGAUUCUCACAACCAAGGUUCUUUCUUGUUGGUCUUGGAUCUGACAUUAUUGUGACUCUCUGCGUUUGUCUACCAGGAAGUGUUUGAGGCUGCAUGCGACCAUGCAAGAGAAUGUGGUGGUUUCCUUUGGGAAAAUUCUAAAAAAAUGUGGCUUGUAGUGAAAGCAGAAAGUUUUGCCUACAUGAAGGAGUUUCUUCGUGGAAAGAAGCAAUAGUCUUUUGGCACUUUCCUUGAACUCUGUAAUGUAGUUUGUUGGCAAAAGGUCCUCUCAGUGUAUGAAAAAUCGAAUUUAAAACAAAUCAUAAUCAAGUAUUUCUGGUUUGCCUUUUGGUUAGCUUUUCCCUUUAUUUUUCAUGUGUGCAAGCUUUUCUUUCUCAUCCUCUUUUUUACAUAAAUACGCUGAUGAAAUUGUUUCACUUUAAUCAAAUCCUAGAGGCAAAAAUUCGAAAUGCGCAUUAGUCACGAUGAGUUGGGAGUAAUAAACCUAAAACACGAUAUGAAUGUGUAUGGAAUGGUGGAAGUGCUUCAAGUUUGUUACAUCUUUCUAUGUAUGAUUCUUGAGCAAUGGGUCUUGUGUUAUAAUAAAAAAAAAAUUGUCAUCAUUUUUUUAUUUUUAAUGUACCCUUAUAUCGUAAGAUAAAAUAAUAUACAAUUAUCUCAUACUCUAUACUUGUACGGCUACAUAAUUGCUACUACAACACUUAUGUACUGUUACGUUUAUAUAAUUGCAACUACUAAUCAACUAUUACUACUAAUGGUUUAGGCACACCCACCGUGUGUGCAACUCAUAAAAAGAUAUUAAAAAUGAUUAGUAUUAUUUUUUUUGUUGGAAAUGGUUAAAUUGUUGUUAUAUGUUUAAAAAAAUGGUAUUUUUUUUUUAAGAGAAGUAGUAGUUAAUUCAACGGAUAUGGAGUGGUUGUAGAAAGGUGAAUAAUUAAAAUGAUAUAAUUCUAUUUAGAAGUAAGAGCAUAUUAGGUAAUACAUUAAAUGAUAUAAUUUGUUUCCAUCAAAACCCUCGCUCCUGCUUUAUAACUAGUAUUAAGAUAAGAUAUUUACCCCAAAUCUUCAUACUAACUUCAAUAUAAAAGAAUCUCAUAAUUAAUUCUUUUGCUGCAACUAAUCUAUUAUUGUAUAUUUUUUCAUUAUUUAUUUUUUCCCUGAAAUAUGUACACACAUAGUGCGUCUCGGCAAAUUUCUCAGAAUAUUGCUAAAAUAAAAAAUUGUCAUAAAAUUGAUGUGAUUUGAGGAUUGUUUCUGGUUUAAGGGUCGUCGCAAUUAUGAUAUGAGACUACCAAUAAAAGUAGUAUUAAUUUGUAUUUAUUUUUGCUGGCUUUAGUUUUCUAUAUUUUCUCCUCUUUUUUUUCAAGCUUUCGCCUCUCAUCAAAUGAGCGGCGAAGCAUCUCUACCGACAUUCACCACACAUUCACCACGACUGUUCAUCAGGACAUGACAGGGAAUGAUCAACGGUCUGCGGCACUCGGCCAUCUUUUUAUUUUUCCUAACGCCUUUAAAUUUUUUUUCUGACGCCGCAAAUUUGUCAAAUUUUUUUUCCUAACGCGUCAGUGAUGCAUCGUUCAUCACAUUGUGAUCAACGGACGCAGAUUGAGGCCAAAAAAUUUUUGUUUAAGUGAAAAAGCACUUUUUUUUAAAGCGAAAUCACAUUUUUUUUAAGUAAAACCGCAAAUCUCAAUUGCGGCGAUAGUUUUGCCACCAUCCAUCCCACCUAACAACGGUAACCAACGGUUGUAAUUGCGCCUCUUAUUAUUUUUUUAUAAAAAACUCUGACGGCCAAGCCCUAAUUUUUUUUUUAAACUAACGCCGCAAUUUGAAUUUUCAGCGUUAGUUUUUCUACCAUCGAUCGACCACGAAGUUUUUAGAUCUACAAAAUCAAAGGUACUGAUUUAGUCAAAAAACAAUUUUCAGUCAAAGUAGCACUACUCCAAUUAUAUUAUGUUAUCGACAAUAACCACUUAUGCCUCAUGUUCACGGACAAUCUCAACUUUUCUCUCUUCUCUAUAUUCUCACUUGAGAGAACCCCAACUCUCUCACGACUUUUCUCUUUCUCUUUCUGGUGUGGAAUUCUCAUCUUCUUCUUCAUCUUCUACCUAUUUCCCCAUUAGAUCUAUAAUUAUCUCUGGAUUUUCAACGGUAGGAUCGAAAAGAAAUUUUUUAAAAAAGCGAUAUACUCAGUGAUAAGGUUAGUUUAUUUAAAAGUUUUAUUAGUAAUAAUUUUAUAAUAUUUGCAUUUAUUUUAAGUUCUAGAUAUUAUGCUGCUUUUUCUUUAUUCAAUUUAAUAGUCAGAUGUUUAUUUAUGGUUUGUUUUUAAGAUUAAAUGUGUAAUUUAUUUUUAAAAGAUUAUUUAAUUUGUUUGAUUUUUAGAUAAUGUGGCAAGUAUUUGUCUGAUUUUUAGACUAUGUGACAAGUGUGUUUGUUUCAUGACAAUUUACAUUUUUGAAGAUGAUUUGUUUGAUUUUAGAAUUAAUUUUAUAGAGGCAGUAGUCUUUUAGGCGAAUGAUGAAUAAAAGGUGAAUGAUGAAUACUAAUAAAUGGUGAAUGAUGUCAAAUAUACUGUUAAUGGUCAAUGAUGAUAAAUGGUAAAUGAUGCUAGUAAGUAGUGAGUCAGUAAAUGAUAAAAGGUGAACGAUGAAUAAUAAUAAAUCGUGAAUGGUGAAUAGUGAAUGGUAAAUGGUAAAUGGUAAAUGAUAAAUAGUAAAUAGUAAAAUGUACGUGGUAAAUGGUAAAUAAUAAAUAGUAAAUAGUGAGUGGUUAAAAUUAAAUAGUAAAAAUAACAAUAAUACAAUAUGAGAUAGUAAGAUAGUAACUGAUAAUUUAAUAGUACCAGUACUAUUAAUCUAUAGUUUAGUAAUAUUAAUAUGAAUAAUAAAUAGUAAAUAAUACUAAUAUUUUUAAAAAUAUAAGUUACAAUAAUUUACAUUAUACAAUCAUAGUCUAAUAGUAACUAUGAUUAAUUAAAGAAGAACUAUUAUUCUAACAGUUUGAAUAAUACUAUUUGUUUGAUAACUUUAUCUUUAUUUAUUCAUUUGAAAUUGAUGAUUGUUUUAUUAGUGGUGCUAUUAUCAAUGAAAUCGUCUGUUGUGUUAAUAUUAGUAAUUAUGAGAAGUUGUUAAAAAAAUAAGUUGAUAUAAAAAUAUUUGUAAGAUUAGGAAAAAAAUGUCGAUGGACCUUGCAUUGGUGUUUUAAUUUUAUUGGGGAGGCAAAAUAAACGAGACCGGAAGAUCAUUCGCAUAUGAACCUCCACGGUAUAAAAAAGUCAUUUUAGUAAAACAUCGAAUAAGUUAUGAUGAAUUGGUGGAUAGCGUGUACACUUACAUGCAACUAGAUUGGAAUGUUUUCAAGUUGAAUCUAUGGUUUAGAAAUGUUGUUGGCCAAAAUAUAUUUACUGGAGUGCAAUUGGGGUGCGAAAAUAAUAUUGACAUGCUAUAUCAUAUAAAAUCGAUGUCACCACACACGUCAUGUGAAAUAUAUGUAGAAGUAGAGUCACAAAUCCGUCAUAUCCAUAGUGACCACGAUGGCAAAAAACAUCAUUAGUCCAAUUUGAUUUUGAAAAGAGGUCAAACAGCAUGCUUCGUACUACCGUAAGUGAAAGUGCAAGGAUGGUAAAUCAUUCUCUUGAUGAAUUACCUCAAAUGGAAAUUUUCAAUUCGACAAUCCUAUCGAGCAUAUCGGAGAGUAAAGGCGUUAAUGUUGAUCAAGACACAGAACCGGAACCCGACGGCGAUGAUUCGGAUGUUGAUGAGCAGGAUCAAAUUGAUGAAGAAUCCGGCAAUCCGCCGAUUCAAUUGGUGUCGGUCCAUCGAUCUCAUAUCGUAUACCAGUCCAUCUAAACGACUUUGAAGGUGUGGAAGCCUCACUGAAUUUUGAUCCUUUUAAGAAGGAGCUUCGGAGUACAAUGUGUGGAGAGAGCGGACAAAAAAUUUGAGAUGGUCUUUGAAACAAAGAACGAUGUGCAGCGAGCCGUCAAACUCUGGUCGAUCAAGCAUAAUAGGGAGUACAAAAUGCUGGAAAGUAAAACAACAAUUGGUGUUUGCUGCAAGUCCCAUAGUGCCUCGCUUCUAUGUAAUUGGCAGCUAAGAGCCACUCUUAGAUGCACACAUAACAUAUGAAAAUUGUAACAUUUUAUGAAGGAGCGCACAUGUGUGCGAGUUUCGAAUUCCAAUGACCACUGAUAGUUGAGUACAUUGUAUGGUACAAAAAUAUUACUGUUCGCUAUAUAGCACCUUCUGUUCACGGUAAGCAGUAGAUGAUGCUUAUCAGGCAGAUGGGGACAGUCGACUAUUUGGUAAAUUAUUAAAGACUUUCCUUUUUUUAUGUAAUCAUAUGACAUUACAUGUUGUUUAUUAACAUAUAACAUGACUACAAUACACAAAUUUCUCUUUUUUAGGUUGAUUCGAUCUCUUGGAUCGAUUCGAUCUGUGGGAUGUACCUCGAUCCCACAAAUCCAACGCAGCGUGCUCAUCCGGGACUAACGACCAUUCUUGAAGAGGCAUUUGGAGCAUUAUAGUACUUGAAUCUAGGAUAUAAACGGUAGCUAGUUCAUUCAAUCGUCAAGAUGUUGGCAGAUCUGCCUCUUCUGCUACCCCUUUUAGAUGCCUGUCGAGCAUCAACCUAGGGAGGUCCGUGGUAGAAAACAAGUAGUUAACAUCGCAGAGGGAGCCUCCACACAUGCUAUUGAAGUGUCGGACGAAAAUAUAACGCAGACUUCAUCAUUAUCCGGCUAUGAUUCACCUAUUGGCACACAUUUUUCUUAUACUGAAACUUUCUUCACACCUCCCACUCUGCUAGUUUUCGGAGGUCAUUUCAGUGACACACCUAUUCCCAUACUCGUAUUUGGCUAUACAUCUGUUGCUGCUACUGCACCGUCUAAUGCUUGAUACAACGACGUGUCCAAAAAUUAAGUUUUAGGAUAAUCUUGACCAAAUGUACCACUUCUUAGAGACCUCGGCUUGCUUCUCACCUGUUUUGCAUAUGGAUGACAAUAGUGUUCCCAUUAGUGCUCAUUUCCAAAUGUCUAUAGAUGGUUCUUGUCCUAGAUGCGAUCAAACUCCGGUAUUCGAUCCUUCCGUUGAUGAUGACGAUGACCAAUGCCUGAACAAAUUCAUGCACCACCUCAGUGGUCUGAAUGAUUACAAUUAGGACGAGAUCUACCAUACGAAAAGAUUCAUUGGAAAUGUGGCUGUUCUAUCACUCCGCGAGAUAAGGGCAAGAGGCGCGUUGAUGGGUGAUAUUUAGAUUUUUUGAAGUUUUCGUAUCAAAAUUCUCGUUUUAUUAUCAUUUAAGUUUAUAUGCUAAUUAUUUCAUUCUAUAAAUAUUGUUGAAUACUGCAUUAUUUAUCAUUAUUCAAAUUAACAUUAAUAUUAAAAAAUAUGACUUAGGCAAAUUUUAGAGUGUUUUUAAUAGCAUACUUGAUUAUCAUCUAAAUUUAAAAUUAACAUAAUUCUAUAAGGGUUUCGAAAUUAGGGAUUCAUGUUAGGUAAAAUGUUAAACCCUAAACCCUAAUUAAGCCUAAUUUAUUAUUAUUUAAGUUUAUAUGUUAAUUAUUGCAUUCUAUAAAUAUUGUUCAAUGCUGCAUUAUUUAUCAUUAUUUAAAUUAACAUUAACAUUAAAAAAUUUAAAAAAUGUGACUUAGGCAAAUUUUAGAGUGUUUUUAAUAGCAUACUUGAUUAUCAUCUAAAUUUAUAAAAUUAACAUAAUUCUAAUAUCGUAUAUUAAAUUUUUUGACAAUUCUGGUUUAUAAUAGGAUAUUAGUAAUACGAAUUAGGGAUUUUGAUUUUAAAAUUAGGGUUAAAGGGUUUAUGUUUAUAUUAAGGGUUACACUAUAAGGGUUUCGAAAUUAGGGAUUCAUGUUAGGUAAAAUGUUAAACCCUAAACCCUAAUUAAGCCUAAUUUAUUAUUAUUUAAGUUUAUAUGUUAAUUAUUGCAUUCUAUAAAUAUUGUUCAAUGCUGCAUUAUUUAUCAUUAUUUAAAUUAACAUUAACAUUAAAAAAUUUUAAAAAUAUGAUUUAGGCAAAUUUUAGAGUGUUUUUAAUAGCAUACUUGAUUAUCAUCUAAAUUUAUAAAAUUAACAUAAUUCUAAUAUCGUAUAUUAAAUUUUUGACAAUUCUGGUUUAUAAUAAGAUUUUAGUAAUACGAAUUAGGGAUUUUGAUUUUAAAUUAGGUAAAAAAGACACUUUUAUGGUUGUCAUGAUCUUUACUCUAAGCGGUUAAGCUUGAUCAAAAGAGACCAAGCUCUGAUACCAAUUGAAAGCCCCGAUGCAACCCAAUGAGUACAAACAAUUUCACAAUGAUGCACAAAGAUAUAUCAAAUUUAAGCACAAUAAAGAAAACUUAAUUAAAGAGAAAAGAUAAGAAAUGCAAACCAAAUAUCAAUCCAAUAGCCUCUUCAAUAGAUGGCGAUGCUAACCAAGAUGUACAUGUGAAGGCUCACUCCUUCCUCACCCCAAACACACUUUGGUUGAGCCAAGGAGUUUUACAACUAUUCUAGGUAACCCUCAACAACCUACACUUGAAAGAUCACUCACCCAAAAAAGAACUAUUUUAUACAAAUGAGGCAACCUUCACCAAGGUUUUACCACUCCAAGUGAUAAGUUCACCUUCACCAAGGUUUUACUCCUCCUAGAGAGUAACCUUCACUUGAGCAACCUCACAACCCAACUUCCCCAACCCCUUAUACAACUAACAAAGAAUCUUUCUACUCAAAAAUCUCACUUGUAAGCUUGUAUUUUGUGUUGGCAAAAGUCCCUUGUCUUCUUGUGCUUUGGGGUAUUUAUACAAGGUGAGAAAUGGCUUCAAAAGGCUCUCUAACGGUCAAAUAUUAAAUGCUGUCAAAACUAGCCGUUGGCCUGUCGGACGUCCGAACCACCUGUCGAACGUCCGAACCACGCGUCCAAACCACCUAUCGGACGUCCGAACCCUGCGUCCGAACGUUGACAGAGAGUCAUCAAAUCUUUGCAAAAUUUCUUGGACGUCCGAUGCGAUCGAUGUGCGUCCGAGGCGUGCGUCCGAUCCUUCCGGACGUCCGAUGCUUCCUCACGAGCGUCCGACAGAGUUUCCUUCUUGAUGUUCUUCAUCUUUUCGGACGUCCGAUGCUUCCUUUCGGACGUCCCACAUGAGUGCCCUGUUUUUGCUUCUCUUUUGUGCCACAAGAAUCUGUUCUAACAAUUUGCUCACAUAAAAACAUUAGCCCAAAUCUACAUUUUGGUUUGUUAAUCAUCAAAACCAAGGAUUGAUCGACCAAGGUCAACAUUAGGGUUAAAGGGUUUAUGUUUAUAUUAAGGGUUACACUAUGAGGGUUUCGAAAUUAGGGUUUCAUGUUAGGUAAGAUGUUAAACCCUAAUCCCUAAUUAAGCCUAAUUUAUUAUUAUUUAAUUUUAUAUGUUAAUUAUUACAUUCUAUAAAUAUCGUUCAAUGCUAUAUUAUUUAUCAUUAUUUAAAUUAACGUUAACAUUAAAAAUUUUCAAAAAUAUGACUUAGGCAAAUUUAUUAGCAAUUUAAUAGCAUACUUGAUUAUCAUCUAAAUUUAUAAAAUUAACAUUGUUCUAAUAUCAGAUAUUAAAUUUUUUAUAAUUCUGGUUUAUAAUAGGAUUUUAGUAAUAGGGUUUUAGUAAUACGAUUUAAGAAUUUUGAUUUUAAAAUUGGGGAUAAAGGGUUACACUGUUAUGGCUUGAAAAUUAGGGUUUCAUGUAAAAUGUUAAACCCUAAACCCUAAUUAAGCCUAAUUAAGGUUACGUUUUAUGGAAAAAAAAAAAACUUCGUCGCAGUUACAUUUUAUUAAAAAAAAAAGGAAAGUAUAUUCAGAAAAAACAAAUAAAAGCCGUUGCUCAUUGGAUGAGCGCGCGAUGAAAAAUGGCCCAAUUAAUGAGCGGCGAAACCUUUACAAAAAAUUAAAAAAAAAAGAAACUAAAGCAACCCAAAAUAAAUGAAAAUUAAAAGUAUUUUUAUUGGAAGCCUCACGUCGGAGAUGCGGCGACCCCUAAUUUGGAACCCACCCUCAAACCACACCAAUUUUCUGACAAUUUUUAAUUUUGACAAUAUUUCAAGAAAUUCGCCAGUGCAUCUCACCCACUAGUAUAUACGAAAUGGUUAGUUAGCAAUCAAUUUGUUAAGAUCCAACUAAUAUAUGUUAAAAUUGGUGCAAAACCACAACAAUCCCUUAAUGUCAAAAUUGGGCUAAUUGCUCAGAAUAUAUGUAAAAAAAAAAAACAUCGCACAAAUGUAUUUCUGACACACAGUUUCUCAUUCUAUACCUGCUGUGCUGAAUCAGCACAGCAGCAGAACGAAUUGUCAGAAACUCUGCAAAAAAGUUCGUGGGUCAGCGGCCCACAAUUUUUUUUAAUUAGCCUGUCCCCAGCCGUGCUGACUGGGCACGGCUGGGACAGGCGGUUAAAAAAAAGAGCCUUCAACAUGAGUGUGCAGGAGAAAUGUUAUGGGAAUUGGAGCAAAGAGCUAGGGAAGUAUCUGUAUUUAUCAACAUGCAAAGUUAAUUUUUACAACACAACCAUUUAAUGAACACUGGCAAAAUUUAGAAGUGUUCAAAUGACUUGGCAUGCACUUUCUUUGCUUUGAAGAUAAUAAAGAACUAAAAUUCAUUAUUGUUUCUCCAGUGCCAUUCUUUUCAUCUAUCACCCCAUCAUUUUUUUAAAAAAAAUUUCUGAAAGCUUUCUACUUGAAUUUUACAGGGCAGCUGACAACCAGGUAUUUCACGUGCCUCUCUUGCAAUAAUCUAUUCUUCAUCGCCAGAAACAAGACCAGACCUUUAUUAUCUUAUUGGGUUAUGAAUUAUGAUGGGAGUUAUAUAAGUAAGGCUCCGUUUGGAUUUGAGAGUCUUUGAAAUACUUGUUUUACAUCUAUAAUGCUACAGUAAUACACAAACAAAAACAACUCCAAAAACACCAUAUUCAAACAAUAUAUCAAAAACAACUCUAAAUAUACAAAAAAUAUAUUAAUAUAUAUAUUUUUAUAUAAAUAAUAUACAAAAAAAUAUAUUUUGUUUAAUAAAAAUAUAUAUUUAUAUAUAAAUAUUAAUACAAAAAUUAAUAUUUAUGUUUUGUUUAAAAUAAAUAUAUAUACUUAUAAAAUUAAUAAAAUAUAUAUAAAAAUAAAUAUAUAUAUAUUUAUAUAUAAAUAUUAAUAUAUUUUGUUUAAAAUAUAUUUAUAUAUAUUUAUAAAUAUAUUUACAUAUAUAUAUUUAUGUAAAUAUAUAAAUAUAUUUAUUUUUUAUAUAUUUAUAUAAAUUUAUAAAUAUAUUUAUUUCAAAAAAUAAAUUUAAUAAAAUAUAGAUACAAAAAAAUAAAUAUUUAUAAUUAUAUAUAAAUAUUAUAAUUUUGUUUAAAAUAUAUUUUUAUAUUUAUAAAUAUAUUUAUAUAUAUUUAUAAAUAAAUAUAUUUAUAAAUAUAUUUAUAUAUAUUAUGUAAAUAUAUAAAUAUUUUUAUUUUUAUAUAUUUAUAUAAAUUUAUAAAUAUAUUUAUUUCAAUUUUGUUUUGUAAUAUGUAUAUUAAUAUAUAUUAAUAUGCAUAUUUCAAUUAUGUGUAUUAUAUUAUAUAUAUAAAUUAUAUUAAUAUGUAUAUUUCAAUUAUGUAUAUUAUAUUAUAUAUAAAAAUUAUAUUAAUAUAUAGAAACAGAGCCAGUAUAUAUUUAAAAAAAUCUCAAAAAAAUUGUAAAUUAUAAAAAUACUCAAAAAUAUAUUUUAAAAAUACCUUUAAAAACAAUUCAAAAAACAUCUACAGUAAAAGUUUUUUAUAUACACAGUUACAGUAAAGUUUUUAAAAAACACCUCUAAAAACAGUUAAUCCAAAUGGAGCCUAAAUUUUUCAAGAAACACAAUAAUUAUAUCAUUGACAAAUGCCUGACUGGUUUUUCUUAUUCUCUUCAUUCCCCUUUGAUGAGCAGUCAGGUGAAAUUAUUGCAACCUCUGGCUCUGGGCAUCAGGGGGGAUACCUUUAUGGUGGGAACCUGCCUAUGGUAGGAAGGCCGGCAGAGAGCGACACGUGUUGACGUUAUAUACAGUCCAAACGGAGACAUUAAAUUCUUACACAACGCGUGAAGAGGAAAUAUACGAGAAUCGUCUGCGGAUGCAACCAGAAAGCACACUGACUUCCGUACGAGUUGGUCCAGGAAGUGUUAUUGCAUGUUAAAAUCAGAGGCAUUUAUGUAUUUGCAAAUGUACCCAUUACCAAUGGAAGAAUGUUGCAAAUGCCUUGGACAAAAAAUGUGCGUAAAGAAGGUAUCGAAAUUUUAAGAAAUAAUAAAUGAUUAUCGCACACGCGUGGGGAUAAUAAUUUGGAAGAAGGAAAAGUGGAGGUAAACGAAAGGAUUCAAGCCUUCAUUAUAUUUAUAUACAUAUAUAAAUUUAGUACCCAAGUGUUCAGCUGAAGCAUCCGGGAAAAUGGUCCCAUAAUUAUCGAUACGGUAAACAACACAGUUUUAGACAUGAUAUAAUAGGUUCUAAAAAUUUUGACCAUUUGAUUACCCGUUUGACCUAUCCACUUGAAUAGGAUUAUGGAUAAAAGUAAGGGAGUAAAUUUGUCAUUCAAAAUAGUAAGUUAACGUAAUAAAUUAGUAACUUUUGCAGUCGAAAAGGUAAAUUGUAAUUAAUAUGAAACAUACUUUUUAAAGAGAUAAAUUACAAUAGUAUAUCCCAAAUAUACUUUUGAGGGAGUAAGUUUAUUUUAAGUAAAAAUAUGUUUUUAUACAAAAAUAGUGAGUUUUAGUUAUAAUAUAGUAAAUUUGAUUAAUGACAAAAACAUGCUAAUUUAUGGCCAUAAUAUUGUAUUAUGCUUAAAAAACUUAUACGUAGCCCAUAUUUUAGAGUUAUUUGAAAUAACACAAAAAUGUAUUUUAAUGAUUAAAACUGAGUACGUUACUUAGUCAGUACAGUUAUUAUACUUGUAUACAUACUUGAUGGUAUGUGUAUAAAUAAGCAUUUUUGAGAUUUAUGGGGAAAAAUUGAUUUUUUCUUUUGCAGUUUAAAAAAAAGGUAAGCGAAAAUCUUUUUUCUCAGAGUACAAAAAUCCACAAGUCAAAGUUGUUGGUCUAAAGGGGAAAGAAACAUUCUGAAUAUCAUUGUUUAUAGUACUAAAUAAAUUAGAUGUAAAAUGCUCGUUAAAAGCAGGUGCGUUGACAUAUAAUAAAGGAAAGACAUAAAGAGCAGGCCAUUUACGGGAAAAGUUGUCAUUCAUAAAAAUAGCAACGCUUUACGGUUUUCUUAUCAGUCUUGCAACGUAUGAGCAAAAUGGCAAUAAUUAAAAUAGUAUUUUAUUCGAAUUAUACAUAUUUCAUUAAUUUUUUUCCAUUUAAAAAAUGAAUGAGAAUCUUUUAUGAGAAAGCACAUAAGUCAAAGGAAUGGUGUAAAAGGGAAAAGAAUAGCAUAUACGUACAAUACCUAUAGUUUAUGUUCGAAGGACUGUAGUGCUAUUUUUGAAAAAUAUCCCGAAAAAUAUGUAAUCGAAACGGAACCGAUUCUUCACUAUUUAAAAUGUCAAAUCUGUGAUUGUGUUGUAAAUGUUAUCCAUUGGUAUCGUAAAGUAUCAUUUUUCAUCAAAUUUCACCUCUUUAACACCAAUUUUCCCAUAAACCAAUUCAUUUAUCGGAUAAAAUACAUGAAAAUUAAGUUUUGAAUAAAACAGUAGCUGUUUAUGGCUUUCCUCCAUUAUAAGAAUAGAGUACCCAUUUUUGCAUAAACAAAUUUAUUUAUCAGAUGAAAUAAAAAUAAAUCCAUUAUUCAAUAAAACACUAAUUCUUUAUGCCUUUCCUCCAAUAUAAAAGCAGAGUACUCAUUUCAGCCCCUCUAGAAAAAUUCCACCUCUUUAACACCAAUUUCCCAUAAACCAAUUUAUUUGUCGGAUAAAAACAUGAAAAUUCGAUUUUUCAAUAAAACACUAGCUCUUUAUGGCUUUCCGCCAUUAUAAGAAUAGAGUAUCCAUUUUUGCAUAAACAAAUCUAUUUAUCGGAUGAAAUUAAAAUAAAUCCAUUGUUCAAUAAAACACUAACUCUUUAUGGCUUUUCUCCAUUAUAAAAACUGAGUAUCCAUUUUAGCCUCUCUAGAAAAAAAAUCUUGGCUUUGUCACUGACUGAAAUGUUUGUAACUGAGAUUUAUCCUUGUGAAAAAAUGUAUGAUACGUAAUUUUUUCAUUGUAUUGAAUUUAUAUGAUGGCAAAUUAAAUGGGUCAAUUGGAUUAGUGUGCAGCAGUUUUGUGAAUGAUUCUGAGAGUAAACUAUGUUAUGGCAAUAAAAUACAUUGAAUUGUGAAAAUUAUUAUUUCAACAUGCUCCUAAAUUUUGGAUAUGUGACUUUCGCUGUUGCGAAUAUCUUAAAUUAACAGUUAGUUAUUACUAUGAGUAAUGUGGUAAGUGUGAGUUGUGAAUGUCAGUAAUAACUGUUAGUUAAUACUAUCAGUAAAGUCAGCAGUAAAUGUGAGAUGUUAAUUGGAAUUUGCAGAUAUUAAUUUGACAUGGUUGGUUAUUAUCUGUUAGUUAAAAUUCGGGAGUUUUAAUUUUAUUGGUUAGUGGGGAAAAUGUGAAAGAAAUGUGAGAAAAACAUGAGCAUGAUUAUAGGAUUUGUACAAGCAAUUAAAGGAUUAGUUGUGAGAUAAACAUUUCUUAAUUUUAGAAAUGUAAAAUUGUAAUAAAAUAGUAUUCGAACUUUUGACAAUUUGGAAAGCUCCUUAUCUAAAAUUCUCUGCAAUACAUAUAGACAGAUAUAGAUGUCUUUUUUUUGGUGGUUGAAUGUCAUAUUCGCGAACUAUUUGCAGAAAAAAAUAAAUUUGUAGACUAAACUAAUUUUGUUAGACCAACUCUGUUAUUCUUAUUAUUGUAUUAAUUGUUAUGCUAUUUCUCUCAUUUUGUUAGAUCUACAUUAAUGCAAGUUUAAUUCCUAUUAUGUCUUGUGUCCCAGAAAAUACAUAUUAUCCUAUUUAGGUGGAUACGUCCAACUGAUAAUCAAAUUGAUGCUAAAAAUUUAGAAUGAAUAAGUUGCUUUUACAUAAUGGUUGGAAAGGUUUCUUGAGACUUUAUGAAUGAGGUGUCUUGCGGUUGCCAAAAGAAUUUGUAGCAUAUUUUUGUAUUAGAAAUGGAGUUAAAACUUGUUAUGGGUUACUUUUAUGUAUUUCAAUUUCAUCGUAAAGGGUAAUUUAUUGUUCAACCUAAUUUCAUUCUGAUUUUAUCUAACUAAUAAAUUAACGUAUGAAAAUGAUAAUUUAUGGAGGAAAGCCAAAAGUAGCUGGUACUUUAUUGAAAAAUGGAUUUAUUUUUAUUUUAUCCAAUAAAUAAAUUUAUUUAUGAAAAAUGGGUACUUAUUCUCAUAAUGGAGGAAAGCCAUAAAGCUAGUGUUUUAUUGAAAAACAGAUUUAAUUUUAUUUUAUCCGAUAAAUAAAAUUUUUAUAUGCAAAAAUGUGUAUUGUGUUCUUAUAACGGAGGAACGUGAUAAAGAGGUAGUAUUUUAUUGAAAAAUGGGUUCAUUUUUAGUUUAGCCAAUAAAUAAUUUUUUAAUGACAAAAUGGGUACUUUGUUCUUAUAAUGGAGAAAAGUCAUAAAGAGCUAGUGUUUUAUUGAAAACGGAUUUCAUUUUAGUUUAGUCGAUAACUAAAUUUUGUUUAUGCAAAAAUCGGUACUGUGUUCUGAUAAUGGAGGAAAGUGCUAAAGAGUUAGUAUUUUAUUAAAAAAUGGGUUUAUUUUAAGUUUAGGCGAUAAAUAAAUUUUUGUGAGAAAAUGGGUAUUUAUUCUUAUAAUGGAGAAAUGUCAUAAAGAGCUGGUGUUUUAUAGGAAAACGGGUUUAUUUUUAUUUUAUCCGAUAAAUAAAAUUUUUUAUGAGGAAAAUGGAUACUGUGCUCUUAUAAUGGAAAAAAGUUAUAAAGAGCUAGUGUUUUAACCUAAAAUCGGUUUUUAUUUUAUUUUAUUUUAUCCAUUAAUUUUUUAGGGAAAAAUGAGUACUUUGUUCUUAUAAUGGAGGAAAGGCAUAAAGAACUAGUGUUUUAUUGCAUAAAAGGUUUAUUUUUUUUCGUCCAAUAAAUAAAUUUUUUAAGGGAAAACAGGUGUUAAAGAGGUGGUAUUGAUGAAAAAAUGAUACUUUAGAAUACCAAUGGAUAACAGUUAAAACACAAUCACAGAUUUGGUAUUUAAAUAAUGAAGAAUCGGUUCCGUUUGCAUUGCAUAUUUUUCGGGGUAUUGUCAAAAAUAGUACUGUAGUCCUUCGAACGUGAAAUACAAGUACUGUACAUAUCUGCUAUUCCUUUCCCUUUUAGACCAAUCCUUUUGACUUAUGUGCUUUCUAUAAAAAAUUUCAAUUUUUUUUAAUUUACAAAAAAUAAAUUAAUUCUGUAUAAAUUGAAAAGAUUACUAUUUCAAUUAUUGGCACUUUGCUCAUGCUUUGGAAGACUGGUAAGAAAGCCGUGAAGAGUUGGAAUUUUUAUUAAUGAAAACUUUUUCCAUAAAUGGCCUGAUUUUUAUGACUUUCCUUUAUUAUAUGUCAAAGUACCAGUUUUUAACCAGCAUUUUACAUCUAUUUAUUUGGUACUUUAAACAAUGCUAUUCAGCUGUAUCUUUCCCUUUCAGACCAACUAUUUUGACUUAUGGAUUUUGGUGCUCUGCGCAAAAAAAAUUUCGCUUACUUUUUUUUUAAACUGCAACAGAAAAAAUUUAAUUAUAUAUAAAUUUCAAAAAUACUAAUUUUUUCACAUACGAUCAAGUAUUUAUACAAGUAUAUUAACAUUACUUACUAAGUAAGGUACUCAAUUUUAAUCAUUAAUAAAACAUUUUAGUGUUAUUUUAAAUAACAAUAAAAUAUGGGCUUCAAAUUUACUAUGUUAUAAGUAAAAAUGAUUAUUUAUAUAUAAAAACAUACUAUUAUUUCAAAUAAACUUACUCUCUCAAAAGUAUAUUGAGAAUAAAAAUUGUAAUUUAUCUCUUUAAAAAGUAUAUUUCGUAAUACUUUCAAUUCACGUUUUGGGCUGCAAAAAUUACUAGUUUAUUACGUUAACUUACUAUUUUAGAUGACAAACUUACUUCCUUAUUUUUACGCAUAAUCCUAUUCAAGUGGAUAAAUCCAACAGGUAAUCAAAUGGUUGCUAAAUUUAUUAUAACCUAUUAUAAUAAGUUUUUUUGCCAUAACGAUAGUCAUGGGACCAUUUUCCCGGAUGCUUAAGCUGAAUACUUGGUCACUAAAUUUAUAUAUGUAUAUAAAUAUAAUGAAGGCUUGAAUCCUUUCGUUUACCUCCACUUUUCCUUCUUCCAAAUUAUUAUCCCCCACACGUGUGCGAUAAUCAUUUAUUAUUUCUUAAAAUUUCGAUACCUUCUUUAUACACAUUUUUUGUCCAAGGCAUUUGCAACAUUUUUCCAGUCGUAAUGGGUACAUUUACAAAUAUAUAAAUGCCUCUAGUUUUAACAUGCAAAAACACUUCCUGCCCCAACUCGUACGGAAGUCAGUGUGCUUUUUGGUUGCAUCCGCACACGGUUUUCAUAUAUUUCCUCUCCACGCGCUGUACAACAAUUUAACGUCUCCGUCUUCCUACCAUAGGCAGGUUCUCACCAUAAAGGUAUCCGCAUGAGGGGACCAUUCUGAUGGCUGAAAUUAUUGCAACCUCAUGGGAUGUAUUUGACCCCUGGCCCUUUUUUUUUUUUUACCGCCUGUCCCAGCAAUGCCCAGUCAGCAUGGCUUGGGACAGGCCGCUGAACCACUGACAUUUGUGCAGAGUUUCUGACAAUUCGUUCUGUUGCCGUGCUGAGUCAGCACGGCAGGUAUAAAAUAAGAAAUGAUGUGUGUCAGAGAUACAUUUGUGCGAUAUUUUUUUUUUACGUAUAUUCUAAGCAAUUAGCCUCAAAAUUGACAUGUUAAUUUUUGACAAAUUUAAAAGUGUGUAGGUUAAUCUUGGAACUUGGAGAGAGAGAGAGACCUGUGUGACCAAGUACAACUUAACAUGGGUAUGCUAAUGAAAGCCCAAUGGCCGAGAAAAUCAGUUGCAGCUAACUCCAAAACCAGUUCUGGCCCAAUGAAACCCGAUAAUCACCCAUCCACGAGGGAAACCACGUCAACAAAUGAAGAAUCGUAGAAGAGGAAGAUGAUCAGGAAGAGCCAAAACGAAUUCCUCUUCCUCGAUUGAUGUUCUAACAAUUGGCGAUUUCAUUUCUGAAUGCAGAUAAAAUGAUAGUAGCAGUGAAAAUACUGCUACUUUAGUUCUGUAAACAAUGGUUUCUUUGGCCUUAGAUUCCACUAUCCUCCAAGAACAAGUUGUAGAAGAAGAAUCUUGAGCAGAAGUUUUAGUAGUAGUAUUAGUACGAGAACUAGUGGGAUUUCUCCUCCUGUUAUUGGUUUCAAGAGUAUCAGUAUCAGAGCCUUUCCCUACAAACCUUUGAUUGCUGCAGCUGCUGCUGCUUCAGAUAAUAAUCAAGAAGCAGAAGUAGAAGAAGAACAAGCAUCAAGAAGAAUUGUUCUGGACAGCCUCAGAGUCCUUGAGUGGGAUAAACUAUGUGACUCUGUAGCUUCUUUUGCUGGUACUUGUUUAGGCAAACAGGCCACCAAGGUAUUUCUAAUUUCUUGGAUUUCUUUCCAAUUUCCUAUCAGUACUACUGAUUGUGAUUCUUGGACCCUUUUCAUCCUUGAAUGAAUUUUUUUACCUCAUUGGAUGCAGGAGCAAUUGUGGUCAUUGAACAAAACGUAUGAGGAUAGUGUAAGGCUUCUUCAAGAGACAAAUGCGGUAGUGGAGAUGCACAAGUAUGGUGCCAUGCUGGACUUUGUUGGCAUUGACACUGCCCUUGUAAGUUUAACCGAUCAUUGUUAUUGUAGAUGCGGUAGAGAUUUUUUUAGUUUAAUUUUAUUUUGCAAUUAGACAAAAUUCUAGAAAUUCUUUGUGGGGUAUUUAUUCUGAAUAAGAAACAACUGAUACUUCUUUGGAGGCGUUGUUUUAGUAACUAAAAGCUACCAGUAAUGGUACACUAACCAGGCUAGUAUGAUUUUUGGAUGAAGGUCAAAUCGGCUAUACAAUGUGCAAAGAGAGAUUCCCCUGUUACUGGAAGUGAAGCUAUGGCCCUUGUUGCUCUCUUACAGUUUGCAGAGGCGUUGCAGUUUAAUCUGAAAGCUGCUGUUAAACAAGAUGCCGACUGGUAUCAGCGUUUCAUGCCUCUUUCUGAAAAGGUACAAUCUUCUUAGUUGAUUGUUGCAUCCCACUUUUGUGUACCUUUCAUUCUUAUUUAUUUAUUUAUAAUUGUUUUUUGUUGUCCACCCCAUUGACUUCCAGAUUUCAGAACUUGUUAUAAGUAGACCACUGAUAAGGUUCAUACAGCAACUUGUAGAUGAAGAUGGCUCUGUUAAGGAUUCUGCGGUAUUUUUUUGUUUUUGGUUUAACUCGAUUAUUCAAGCUUGUCACCACUUUUUGUUUCUUAUUGUUUGAUAAAUUUCAGUCUUUGUGUUUGGUAGAAGGGAGUUCUUAAUAGGUAUUCUAGGUUUUCAUGAUUAUUUAGUUCUUAAUAGGUAUUCUAGCUUUACAUGAUUAUUUACCCAGCUUCCCAUUCCUCCCAGUAUCUAUGAGCAUUUUGUUUUUUUGGCUUCUUGCAGCAACUGCAUUGAUAUUUCUUUAUCUUCUUAUAGUUUUACUUGUUUUCCAUCUCAGAGUUCUGCUUUGAAACAAUCCCGGGAGCAAGUACGCUUUAUUGAAAGAAAGGUACAUUGUAUUUGAAUGCCUGUGCUGAUUGACACUAUCAUGUUCCUAGCUCAUCCGCAUACACUUUAGUCAACAAACUUUUUACUUCAUUUUUCACUGAAUUCUCUAGCAGCUCCAUUUAGAAGAUAGUCUAUUAAAGACUGUAGUCCAACAGAAUACUACAGUUUACUCCAAACUUCAUAGAAGGGCCCUUGUGUACUUUUAUAUGUCAUUUGUGAACAUUCUUUUGAACAAAUAUCACUCUAUGGCCAGCUGACCUCGACAUGAGCUAUUGUUUCUCAUCUACCAAGAACUGUUGAUUCUACUCUAAGAAAUUGAUCUAGUGGGCAACCGGCAGAAAAAAAAAUUGCUGUUAGGUGAAGGCAGUAGACUAAAGUUUUUUGGCUUGACACAAAUGCACCUAAGAAUGUAGCUUCAUCUGUCCAUGUUAUCCAGGGAAUUACCCAGUCUUCCUUAAUACAAAGGACUGGUUACAUCAGUUUCCUUGAUGAAUGGUUAGUCUUUGAACAAGUCUAUCUGUCAAUUUUUUGUUUCCAUUUGUUUCUUCCUAUUGGACUUAAUAACUAGCAGAGAGUACCGCAGUAGGGUCAAAACCUCAAGGUCGUUGUUUUCAGACCGACCCCUUGGUCUACCAUCUAAAUCUAGCUGAAUUCCAUUUUGAAAUGUCAAAGAAGAUCUAUCAGUACGUAUGAUACAAGGUUGUGUAGCUUAUAAUUUUUCUUUUAUUUUGUUCGGAGUACAUCUUUACAUUUUCUAGAUGCUGCUGCAUCCCUUUUCUUGGUGGAAUAGUUGGCUUUGCUUCUUUUAUACAAAGGACAGUUAGCAGUUCAAUGCCCACAGCAUACAUUAUAUGUGAAGUUGGUUGUGUGUGUUAACUCUGCCUUAGAAUUUGUCCUUGUCCAGAUUUGCUUUCUGAUCUUUGCACCUUCUUAUCAGUUAUACCAGUUGAUGGAAAGCUUCAUCAGGAAUGAAAUGAAAGAAACAUCCUCUUUGGUGAGCUCCUUUGUUAGAUAUUUUAUAUUAUUGCACAUAAAUGAAAAUUGGAUAUGCUAUGACCUUUCCGGUUAACUUUUGUGAUGAUUUAGGUAGUGAGCAGUGUUGAUGGCAGAUGGUGCAUAACUUCAGGCACCAAAAUUCAAUCAUAUGUCAAGGGGCUACUGUUGUCAAGGUGCAUUGUAGAUCUUGCAGGCUUUUAUUAUCUUUUGCUUAUACUAAAGAUCUCCGCUGAUUAGAUUCUGCAUAUCAUUGUUUGUUUUUCUGUAUCAUGCUGUUGAACAAUAACAGAAUUGUGACUGCAGCAGCUGCACUUGGAAUACAAAAUAAAAUGAGACUGUCAGGAUCUCAUCUAAUAUCUUACACUGUUCACUUAUCCCUUAGGAUAAUUAUAGCCAUGUUAUUAAUUUUGGGUUGCUUUUAGAAGCGUGAAGAUAGGAAUCAAAUGCCAGUUGUAUUCUGUUCUUCAGUUUACCCAAAUCUAAAGUUAAUUUGACGUGUGGUGUUAAAAUAUCAUUUAACUAAAGAGUGCUACCUAAGGUUCUUGGUAUGCAGAAUGGCAUCAGCAUGAAUGAAAAAGUCAUUUAUUAUUUUUCCCAAGUGGAUAAGAGAUUUUUUUGGUACUGCUUCACAAUACCUUAUGUUUUAUCUUGAGAGCUUAUGCUCUAUUGUAGUGGUUCAGGUGCAGGUAGCAUUCUAGAACCCCUUUCUGCUGUCCCACUUAAUGACCAGUUGCAACAAGCAAGGGCAUCUGUUGCUAAGGCUGAAGCUGAUGUGCUUUUAAAGAUAACAAAGAAGGUUUUAAUUUAUUCCAAAUAAAGUUCCAGAAUUGCAAUGUCAAGUUCUUAAAGUAGAAGUGAGUAUAUUCUAAUAGUUUCCUUUGUUAAACAGAUGCAAAUGGAUCUUAAUGAGAUUGAAAUCGUGUUCGAUGAUAUGAUUGAACUAGAUGUGGUAAGUAUUUUUGAUGAAAACUAUGUUUCCAUAAUUAAUUUAAUUUGGGAUGGAGGGGAUUAUAUUGUUGAUGCACAAAAAUGGACUUCAGAAUUGUUGGGCUCUGAGAGAGCCAAACUCGGGGAGAAUUUAACCAUGAGCUAGAAUGGGAACCACAACCAUGGGCUUGACACCACAUCCAACCCAAAACCUUAAGGCAUUGGGUCUAUGGAUCAUUCCCACUUAUAUGUUCCUCAUUCUACUCAUCUCUUUCCAAUGUAGGAUAUUGAUUCACACUUGAUAUCCCAACAAUCUCCCCCUCAAUUGUGAAUCUCUUCCACAUCGGACCUCUCUCCCUAGGCCAUCCACUCCAUCAAGCCCACUUCAAUCUGGAGUGUACGAUUCUUGCUCAAGAGCCCACAUGCCCUUGCCUCACUGCAGGUCUGCAUGAUUUUUUUUUUUCCUGCUCUUAUUCAAGCCACACCUUACCACUCCCACUGGCUUUUUUUUAUCCUGGAGUCACUGCCCAGCCGAACCAUCGGCUCUGAUACCACUUGUUGGGCUCUGAGAGAGCCAAACUCGGGGAGAAUUUAACCAUGAGCUAGAAUGGGAACCACAACCAUGGGUUUGACACCACAUCCAACCCAAAACCUUAAGGCAUUGGGUCUAUGGAUCAUUCCCACUUAUAUGUUCCUCAUUCUACUCAUCUCUUUCCAAUGUGGGAUAUUGAUUCACACUUGAUAUCCCAACAAGAAUAACUCUAAAAAUGGGCUAAAGUAUUGCCUUUCUUGUGAAUUUAUUGAUGGUAGUUGUGGUGAUAUUCUGAUCUCCAUUUAUCUCGUACUUUUCCUUUAGGGUUAUAGAUAGGUCAUAUUCUGUUGUGCAUGAGAAGGGGAAGCAUAUGGGCAAACACUUUUCUGUGCACUAUUUUGUUUGCUUUUGGUUAAUCAAGGUCCAGAAUUUUGCUGAUACAGGGACAACUUUUCAUUUAUUUGUAUUUUCCUAAUUAUAUAUAUAAAACUCGAGUCAUUUUGAUCUUGGGGUUUGUUUAACGUUAUUUCUAUCAUAUUUCUUGGGAGAGUGAUUGCGUAUUUGACUGCAUAAAUGAAUUGUCAAUGGCAAUGGCAAUGAAUAUCAUAGCCCCUUAAUAAUAAUGGUUUUGUGAAGAUUUCUUCUUGUGAAAUCUCAUGUUUGGUAGGUAGGGUGGAAUAAGAAUGACUUUUCCAUUUUUAAUUUAUUUCAGCCUCAUCAGCUUUUCUAUUUACUCUCAUUUUCUUUUUCUUUAUUUUUUUCCCUUCCUUUUUCUUCAUCUCAUGCCCACUGCCACCUCCAACUCUCUCCACCGCAUAAUAUGACAAUCAAACUUGUGCUACAACUUCAGAUGUUAAAACCAAACGCAAAAAAUUGCACCUUCUAAUUUGUCCAGAAAAGAAAUCCUGAUCACGCCCAGAACUUCUUUGGUGCCAUGAGAUAGAUUUAUAAUUUUUUCUGAGUAAAAACCCACUUCUGAUUUUGCUAAUUUCUCCUGUUCUGCAAAGUGUGAAUCAAUCAAAAUUUGCUCCAAAUCCGAGAAUAUAUGAACAAAGACAACUGUAAACCAUCUUCCACAAUGAAGGAAGCAGAGAGAGAUCAGGAUGAAGCAGAUUGGAAUGUGAAAACAGAAGAGAGGGGCCAUGCUCUUCCUUUCCAUAUUUUUUCAACUUGAAUUUUUGUUUAUUUCUACUUUCUUUUAAAAGGUGGGUAAUGAGAGCUGAUAUUGCCCAAUUUAGUGGGUUUUGGGGGACUGGAAGACCCAGAAGUGGAUGAUGCAAAAUCCCAUAGUAGUAUACUGAGCAUAACCAGUGGGCAUCAUUACCUGUCAGUCAUUCCCAUUGAGGAGUGCAAAACCUCCCAACCAAGUGGGUGUUUCUUAUAGAUGCUUGGAUAUGGCAAUGCUAUUUAAUCAGCAUUCUGGUUUCCAUUUGCCUUAAAAUGUUGUAAUUUUCUGAACAGAUAAAUGCCAGAGCACGAUAUAGUCUAUCAUUUGGGGGCUCAUUUCCUGAUAUAUUUUUGCCACAAGCCGAGGAUGGUUGCCGUCCAUCUGCUGUUUUGUCAAAGGCAACUACUUCAGUGGUUUCUCAUCCAACCCAGAAGAAUUGGACUUUGUAUCUUCCGAAAGCUUAUCAUCCUCUCCUCAUUCAGCAGCAUCGGCAGAGACUAAUGAAGGCCAAGAAGGAUGUCAAUGAUGCUGUUGCUGUAAGUCGUGAGUUAAACUUUCUACUGCUACCUUGUUUUUCCUAUGGUAUUAAGUUUAUGGCUGAAUCUAUACAGACUCCAAUAUCCUUCUGUUUAUGCAUACCAAGUGAUGUAUUUGCAUAUGAAUCUGUUUGGCUCAUGUUAUUCUUCAUAAAAUUUUAUCCUCUUCUUGGAAUUUGGUUGGAGGAGAGGAUGGUGAUUUUUACUUGAGGAUUGUUUUCUCAACUCCAACUUUUGGUAUAUAUUGAAUUUAUGUAAUUUCCUUUUUCAUCAAAUGAACUUGAUGUUUUUUGACUCCAGGAAAUCAGGAGGAGAAAACAAGGAGGAAGCAUGGUGGGAAAGAAAGAAACAGAUUUAUGUAUUUCAUCCUUGGAACAGGAGGUUAUAUUUUAGGACUAAAAUCGAUCUUUCAUUUUAACUUCAUGUUUCAGUAAAGUUGAUACUUCAUAAUUUUGAACCUGGAUUUUUUUUUUGGUGAAGUCAGGUUGCUGAGUUACAAGAAGCUGGUCCAGUUCCUAGUGAUGUAUUUAUUGCUAGAAAUACUAGAGUUGUUGUAAUAACAGGCCCCAAUACUGGAGGCAAAACUAUUUGCUUGAAGACUGUUGCCUUGGCUGCCAUGAUGGCAAAAUCAGGUGAACUGUAGCAUUUUAAUCUUGAAUUGUCAGAAUUUUUCUUGCACACAAAGUGUAUCUAGCUUUUCUGAACAUAUUGUUCAAUUCACUACAUGAUCUAGGUAUCUAAGACUCACUGAAGGUAUUGUUUUUUCUACUUUACUCUCCAAGUAAAUGUUGUACAGAUUUCUUUGCAGUCUAGAUGAAAAGUUUAAGCUAUUAAAGUCAUAGGCAGGAGAGCAAUAUCAAAGAGUAAGGUAGGCAUGAGUCUUGGCUUCCCUAUGUUAAAACUCUAUGACCAGUGAAAUCUGACAACUAAUUUCGUUCAAGAAUAAAUCUUAACUUCCCUGUGUGAGGAAAUGGAGAAAAGUUAAUGAAUUCUAUGAAGACAAUCAUUUUCUCAAGCUAGCGUUCCUUGUUUUAUCAUUUAAUUAGAUUUUUAAUAAAAUUUUUACCAGCAAUCUCUUUGUAUUCUGCUUCUUGAAACUAUCUAAUCAUAAAAGAUGGUGCGAUCAAUGAUACUGUUAUUGCUAAUAGCAGAUGAUACGAGUCAAAUAUUGAUACUGAACACAUGACCUAAUAGGUUUAUAACUGAGCUGAUUGAUGGCGGUUGAGAUAUGAUUUGGGUGCCUUAGUACAUUUAUCUAUAUCUGGUCAGAGCAAUUUGAAGUUUUCCCGUAACAAGUAAAUUACAGGAAAAUAGAAAAGGUUAUUUUGAAAGAAUGGGAAGAACAGAUAACGACGCGAAUAGUGUUGUACUGUGGUUUAACUUUCUGUCAAAAAUUUUAGGUAUGAUGUUCUACAUUUGCUUGUCUCUCUUUGGAGCAUGUCAUGGAGCUAUUAGGAGGGUACCCUAUUAUUAAUGAAAUCUCUGCUUUAAUUCUGUUUUUGCAGGUAUAUAUGUGUUAGCUUCUGAACCAGUAAAGAUCCCUUGGUUUGAUUUUGUCUUUGCGGAUAUUGGUGAUGAACAGUCCUUGUCUCAGUCUCUGUCUACCUUCUCUGGCCAUGUGAAGCAAAUUAGUGUAAGUUGGUUGUUGUUAAGGAUUUUGCACUUUGAACAUGGCUUUUAUAUAUUGUUUUCGUUUCCUUGCUAUCAAAAGGAAUUUAAGGUGCACACGUGGAAUUUCAUUUUGUUAGUAGUUACAAAAUGUCUCCUGUUGCAAAAAGGCUCGAUAUCCCAAUCAUCUUUAGGUAACUUAAGAACCUCUCAUGAAAGAUACAAUCUCCAAUUUUGUGAGUUAUUUCCCCCCAAGUUGUAGUUAAGAUGACAGAGUAUCUUGAAGUCCAUUUCUCAUGCAGUAAAGCUAAAUGUCAUACAUGUUGUAUAUUUGGCUUGCAUGAGGAGUUUUUUGGUAGGUGUUGAUGACCAUAACAAAUCUAAAACUAUAUCUCAUUUUACUUGACAACAUAGAAAUAUCCCCAACCUCAAAAGACAAUCAAGUGGAUUGAAUAAAUAGUGUGUUUAGUAUAUGCCUUUUUGGAUAAGUAAUGGGUAAACAUCAAUAAUCAGUUGCUGUUUAUCAAUUUAUGAGUAAGUAAAUGUGCAAUAGUGCAUAGUUCGUUUGUUAGGACUGAGCCAGGAAAUAGACAAAUCCAAGUUAGGACAAAGUAGGCGGUAUAACCGACCAUAUAAUAGAUAGGCGGUAGAUACCAGCCAUAUAAUAAUUAGGCGGUAAAACCGACCAUAUAAAGACGGAUAACAAAGCAAAUAAAAGACACAGAAGAUUUACGUGGUUCGGUCAAAUUGACCUACGUCCACGGGCGAGGAGGAGCAAUAUUUCUACUAUGAAGAAGAAAUACAAAAGACCGUAGGAAAGUUUCCUAGGCCAAUAGGCACUUACAAAAGAGUUUAGAAAAUAUUCCUAAACUCAAAACAAGAGAGCCUAAAAUAUUUGACUGAAUGGGCUAGAUGACUCAAGAAGCUAAUAGCCCAUAUAACUCUCUUGAGUGGUGCGAGUUAUUCCUUCAUAGGCUCCCUUAUUUAUAGGAAACCAAAGGAAGAAUUCCUUUGGCUUCUCGAUGUGGGACGAAGCACCAAACAUUUGGUCAACAAAUGCGGCUUCAACAAAUCUCCACCUUGAUGAGUCCCACAUCGAGAAUAUAAACUUGCUCCACCUUCUCACAUAAGCCCCAAUGGGCUUAAAUCACCAAUAACGAACACCAACCAAGUCCAAGCACUGCUUGAACUUGUAAACUGGAAGAGGUUUCGUAAACAUAUCGGCUGGAUUGUCCUUAGUAUUGAUUUUCUGAAUAAGGACUUUUCCCUCAGCAAUGAUAUCCCGAAUGAAGUGAUACUUCACAUCAAUGUGUUUCGUCCUCUCAUGAUACAUCUGAUCUUUAGUCAAGUGUAUGGCACUUUGACUAUCACAGUGAAUAUCAGUAACACCUUGAUAUAGACUUAGCUCGCUAAAUAAACUCUUCAACCACAAGGCUUCUUUGAUUGCCUCGGUCACAGCCAUAUAUUCUGCUUCAGUAGUAGACAAAGCUACGACAGGUUGUAGAGUAGCUUUCCAACUAACAGCACAACCGCCAAUGCAAAAUACAUAGCCUGAAAGUGAUCUUCUCCUGUCAAGAUCCCAGCGUAGUCUGAGUCUACAAAACCAACCAAAGUGUUAUUAUUUCUUCCAAACUCCAAACAUGCAUUUGAAGUACCUCGCAAGUAUCUGAGAAUCCACUUCACAGCUGCCAAUGUUUACCAGGGCAAGACAUAUAUCUGCUAACAACACUGACUGCUUGUGCAAUAUCUGGACGAGUACAAACCAUUGCAUACAUAAUACUGCCGACUGCACUGGAAUAAGGAACCCGUGCCAUAUAAUCUUCCUCUUCAUCUGAUUUUGGUGAUUGAGCAGCAGAUAGCCGAAAAUGGCUAGCAAGAGGAGUAGAUACUGGUUUAGCAUCUUUCAUGCCAAAACGCUCCAAAACUUUCUCAAGGUAAUUUUUCUGGGUCAAGAACAACUUCCCUACUCCUCGAUCUCGCUUGAUAUCCAUGCCAAGAAUUUUCUUAGCUGCUCCCAAAUCUUUCAUUUCAAAUUCACUAUUUAACUGCAGUUUCAAAGUGUGAAUUUCUGACAAAUUCUUGGCAGCAAUGAGCAUGUCAUCAACAUAAAGCAGCAAAUAAAUGAAAGAACCAUCAUUUAACUUCCGGAAGUAAACACAACUAUCAUACAUGCUCCUCAAAUAACCAUGACCCAACAUAAAGGAAUCAAACCUUUUAUACCAUUGUCUUGGAGACUGCUUCAAUCCAUAUAAGGAUUUCUUCAAUAAGCAAACAUGGUCUUCCUUACCUUCAAUUUCAAAACCCUGGGUUGUUUCAUAUAAAUUUGUUCUUCAAGUUCGCCAUGUAAGAAAGCUGUCUUAACGUCAAGCUGUUCUAACUCCAAAUUAUACAUGGCAACUAAAGCAAGCAAAACACGAAUAGAGCUAUGUUUAACAACAGGUGAGAAUAUAUCAUUAAAAUCAACACCUUGUACCUGACUAUAGCCCUUUGCAACCAAUCGUGCUUUAUAUCUUGCAUCUUCAACCCCUGGAAUACCUUCCUUUUUCUUGAAGACCCACUUGCAACCAACAAUUUUCUUAGCUGACGGCGGCUUUACAAGAACCCAAGUUUCAUUCUGAUGAAGAGAUUCAAUUUCUUCAUUCAUCGCAAUCAACCACUUUGCAGAAUCAUCACAAGAAACUGCUUCUGAAUAGGUGGAAGGCUCACCAACUGCAUCAGUUUCUUCUGCAACAGACAAAGCAUAUGCAACUAAAUUUGCAUAUCUUUGUGGUGGUCGAAUGUCUCUCCUUUGUCUAUCUCUGGCUAUGGAAUACUCCUCUUCUUCUGAACUAUCUUCAACAGUAGAUUCAGGUGCAUCUACUGGCAUUUGUUGAAUAGAAGAUUUGGACUGAGAAGGACCAGAACUGCCAAUAUCAAGCUCCACCUGCUUCUGUGUACUAUCAGUAGUACAAGGACUAGAAGACUCCUUCUUGGAAGAUAACAUAGACAAUUCAUCAAAAGUAACAUCUCUACUGAUACAAAUUUUGGAGAUUUGGGAUCAGGACACCAUAAUCUGUAUCCUUUCACCCCAGAAGCAUACCCAAGAAAAAUGCACUUUUUAGCCCUAGGCUCCAAUUUUCCAUCAUUCACGUGCAUGUAUGCUGGACACCCAAAAACUUUUAAAUUGGAGUAAUCAGCAGGAGUACCUGACCAAACUUCCUCAGGAGUUUUGAAAUCAAGAGAUGCAGAAGGAGAACGGUUGACAAUAUAACAGGCCAUAUUGAUCGCCUCUGCCCAAAAGUCGUUUGUCAACCCUGCAUUGGAGAUCAUACAUCUUGCUCUCUCCAAAAGCGUUCUGUUCAUACGUUCGGCCACACCAUUUUGUUGAGGCGUCAUCCUGACGGUGUGAUGCCGAACAAUUCCUUCAUUCUUGCAGAAUUCAUUAAAUUCACCUCCACAAAAUUCCAUGCCAUUAUCUGUUCUCAACCGCUUAAUAUGCUUUCCUGUUUGUUUCUCAAUCAAAACUUUCCAUUGCUUGAAAGUUAGGAAAACAUCAUUUUUAUGCUUAAGAAAAUAGACCCAAACUUUCCUUGAAUAAUCAUCAAUGAAAGUCAACAUGUACCUGGCACCACCUUUAGAAGGAGCACGAGAAGGACCCCAUAGAUCUGAAUGAAUGUAAUCAAGAGUACCUUUUGUCUUGUGAAUUGCUGGUGAACUGAAGCUGACUCUUUUCUGCUUCCCAAAAAUACAAUGUUCACAGAAUUCCAAUGGACCGGUACUUUGUCCACACAGAAGUCCUCUUUUGCUUAGUAUGCCCAAGCCUUUUUCGCUCAUGUGCCCCAAACGCAUAUGCCAUAAUUUGGUGAUGUCUGUAUCUGACAAAGAUGAUGUUGAAACAGCAGCAGCACCUGUCACAGUAGAUCCCUGCAAAAUAUACAAAGUACCAGAUCUGUGUGCCUUCAUAACAACAAGAGCUCCUCGAGUGAUUUUGAGAACUCCGUCUCCACCUGAAUACCUGCACCCGAUAGACUCAAGAGUGCCCAAAGAGAUGAGAUUUUUCUUCAAAUCUGGAACAUGUCUAACAUUUGUGAGCGUCCUCACAAUACCAUCGUACAUUUUAAUCCGGAUUGUGCCUUUGCCAACAACUUUACAAACAGCGUUGUUGCCCAUUAAGACAACUCCACCUUCAGUUGAUUCAUAUGUUGAAAACCAGUCCCUAUUGGGACACAUAUGAUAUGAACAACCCGAAUCUAAAAUCCACUCAUUGUUAGACCUAAAAUUAUUUUCCGUUGCACAGAAAAUGGUUCCAUCAUUCUCAUCAGCUGCUAUACUAGCUUCAGCGGAUUCAGUAUUUUUCUCAACAAAUUUCCCUUUUGCUUUUCUUUAUUUUUCAAUUUAAAGCAAUCAGAGAUAACAUGGCCCUUCUUUUUACAAUAAUUGCACACCACAUUUUUAUGUCUGGACUUGGAUCUACUUCUAUUUUCUGUGUUUCUCUUUUCAGAUCUACCCCGAACAAACAAGCCAUCGGCUUGACUCCCACUAGUUUCCCCAGUAAUAUCCCUAUCUAUCUGCUCUUUAGAUUUUAAUGCAGAUUUAAUUUCCCGAUACGAAAUUGUUUCCUUUCCAUAAAUCAUAGUAUCGCGGAAAUGCUUAAAAGACUGGGGAAGGGAACACAAAAGUAAUAGGGCUUGAUCUUCAUCAUCAAUUUUCGAAUCUAUAUUCCCCAAAUCCAUAAUAAUGGAAUCAAAUUUAUCAAGAUGGGAGAGUAUAGAUGUACCUUCAGACAUCCGAAGCAUGUACAAACUCUGCUUCAAAUAUAGCCGAUUCUCGACUGUCUUCUUCAUAUACAAGGCUUUCAAUUUAUCCCACAUAGCCUUGGCCGAAGUCUCCGUUGCUACCUCACGCAAUACCUCAUCGGAGAGAUUUAAGAUUAUGCUGGAUCUGGCCUUCUUAUCCAUAUCGGCGAAAUCCGCAUCCUUUACAUCUUCUGGUUUGUUCUCGAUUCCGUGAAUCGCUAGAUCAACUCCGUCUUGAACAAGAAUGGCCUCCAUCUUGAGCUGCCACAUUCCGAAGUUGACAUUCCUGUCGAAUUUCUCGACAACCGUCUUUGUUAUCGUCAUUGUUGCCACAAAAUCUGUAACUUGAAGUUUGUCUCAAAAAACUGGCCAAACAAAUAUGCAAGUCUCGUGAGCGGGCCCCACAGGGUGAGCGGCCCCACGAGAUAAGCGGGCCCCACGGGAUGAACGGACCCCACAAGGUGAGCGGGCCCCACAAUAAACGGACCCCACAGGAUGAGUGGGCCCCACAGGAUGGACGGACCCCACCAGAUGAACGGGCCCCACCAGAUGAACCUGUCUUGCAAAAUAUAACAACCAGCUCUGAUACCAGUUUGUUAGGACCGGGCCAGGAAAUAGACAAACUCAAGUUAGACAAAGUAGGCGGUAUAACCGACCAUAUAAUAGAUAGGCGGUAGAUACCAGCCAUAUAAUAAUUAGGCGGUAAAACCGACCAUAUAAAGACGGAUAACAAAGCAAAUAAAAGACACAGAAGAUUUACGUGGUUCGGUCAAAUUGACCUACGUCCACGGGCGAGGGAGGAGCAAUAUUUCUACUAUGAAGAAGAAAUACAAAAGACCGUAGGAAAGUGGUUCCUAGGCCAAUAGGCACUUACAAAAGAGUUUAGAAAAUAUUCCUAAACUCAAAACAAGAGAGCCUAAAAUAUUUGACUGAAUGGGCUAGAUGACUCAAGAAGCUAAUAGCCCAUAUAACUCUCUUGAGUGGUGCGAGUUUAUUCCUUCAUCAGGCUCCCUUAUUUAUAGGAAAUCAAAAGAAGAAUUCCUUUGGCUUCUACCGAUGUGGGACGAAACACCAAAAGCAUUUGGUCAACAAAUGCGGCUUCAACAAAUCUCCACCUUCUCGAUGUUGGGGACUCAUCAAGGUGGAGAUUUGUUGAAGCCGCAUUUGUUGACCAAAUGCUUUUGGUGCUUCGUCCCACAUCGUAGAAGCUCAAAGGAAUUCUUCCUUUGGUUUCCUAUAAAUAAGAGAGCCUGAUGAUGGAAUAAACUCGCACCACUCAAGAGAGUUAUAUGGGCUAUUACUUUCUUGAGUCAUCUAGGCCAUUCAGUCAAAUAUUUUAGGCUCUCUUGUUUUGAGUUUAGGAAUAUUUUCUAAACUCUUUUGUAAGUGCCUAUUGGCCUAGGAACCACUUUCCUACGGUCUUUUGUAUUUCUUUUUCAUAGUAGAAAUAUUGCUCCUCCCUCGCCCGUGGACGUAGGUCAAUUUGACCGAACCACGUAAAUCUUCUGUGUCUUUUAUUUGCUUUGUUAUCCGUCUUUAUAUGGUCGGUUUUACCGCCUAAUUAUUAUAUGGCUGGUAUCUACCGCCUAACUAUUAUAUGGUCGGUUAUACCGCCUACUUUGUCCUAAUUUGGAUUUGUCUAUUUCCUGACCCGGUCCUAACAAACUGGUAUCAGAGCUGGUUAUUAUAUUUUGCAAGACAGGUUCAUCUGGUGGGGUCCGUCCAUCCUGUGGGGCCCACUCAUCCUGUAAGGGCCGGUUCAUUCGUGGGGCCCGCUCACCCUGUGGGGCCCGCUCACGAGACUUGCAUAUUUGUUUGGCCAUUUUUUGAGACAAACUUCAAAUUACAGAAUUUGUGGCAACAAUGACGAUAACAAAGACGAUUGUUGAGAAAUUCGACAGGAAUGUCAACUUCGGAAUGUGGCAGAUCAAGAUGGAGGCCAUUCUUGUUCAAGACGGAGUUGAUCUAGCGAUUCACGGAAUCGAGAACAAACCAGAAGAUGUAAAGGAUGCGGAUUUCGCAGAUAUGGAUAAGAAGGCCAGAUCCAGCAUAAUCUUAAAUCUCUCCGAUGAGGUAUUGCGUGAGGUAGCAACGGAGACUUCGGCCAAGGCUAUGUGGGAUAAAUUGAAAGCCUUGUAUAUGAAGAAGACAGUCGAGAAUCGGCUAUAUUUGAAGCAGAGUUUGUACAUGCUUCGGAUGUCUGAAGGUACAUCUAUACUCUCCCAUCUUGAUAAAUUUGAUUCCAUUAUUAUGGAUUUGGGAAAUAUAGAUUCGAAAAUUGAUGAUGAAUAUCAAGCCCUAUUAUUUUGUGUUCCCUUCCCCAGUCUUUUAAGCAUUUCCGCGAUACUAUGAUUUAUGGAAAGGAAACAAUUUCGUAUCGGGAAAUUAAAUCUGCAUUAAAAUCUAAAGAGCAGAUAGAUAGAGAUAUUACUGGGGAAACUAGUGGGAGUCAAGCCGAUGGCUUGUUUGUUGGGGGUAGAUCUGAAAAGAGAAACACAGAAAAUAGAAGUAGAUCCAAGUCCAGACAUAAAAAUGUGGUGUGCAAUUAUUGUAAAAAGAAGGGCCAUGUUAUCUCUGAUUGCUUUAAAUUGAGAAAUAAAAAAAGCAAAAGGGGAAAUUUGUUGAGAAAAAUACUAAAUCCGCUGAAACUAGUAUAGCAGCUGAUGAGAAUGAUGGAACCAUUUUCUGUGCAACGGAAAAUAAUUUUAGGUCUAACAAUGAGUGGAUUUUAGAUUCGGGUUGUUCAUAUCAUAUGUGUUCCAAUAGGGACUGGUUUUCAACAUAUGAAUCAACUGAAGGUGGAGUUAUCUUAAUGGGCAACAACGCUGUUUGUAAAGUUGUUGGCAAAGGCACAAUCCGGAUUAAAAUGUACGAUGGUAUUGUGAGGACGCUCACAAAUGUUAGACAUGUUCCAGAUUUGAAGAAAAAUCUCAUCUCUUUGGGCACUCUUGAGUCUAUCGGGUGCAGGUAUUCAGGUGGAGACGGAGUUCUCAAAAUCACUCGAGGAGCUCUUGUUGUUAUGAAGGCACACAGAUCUGGUACUUUGUAUAUUUUGCAGGGAUCUACUGUGACAGGUGAUGCUGCUGUUUCAACAUCAUCUUUGUCAGAUACAGACAUCACAAAAUUAUGGCAUAUGCGUUUGGGGCACAUGAGCGAAAAAGGCUUGGGCAUACUAAGCAAAAGAGAACUUCUGUGUGGACAAAGUACCGGUCCAUUGGAAUUCUGUGAACAUUGUAUUUUUGGGAAGCAGAAAAGAGUCAGCUUCAGUUCACCAGCAAUUCACAAGACAAAAGGUACUCUUGAUUACAUUCAUUCAGAUCUAUGGGGUCCUUCUCGUGCUCCUUCUAAAGGUGGUGCCAGGUACAUGUUGACUUUCAUUGAUGAUUAUUCAAGGAAAGUUUGGGUCUAUUUUCUUAAGCAUAAAAAUGAUGUUUUCCUAACUUUCAAGCAAUGGAAAGUUUUGAUUGAGAAACAAACAGGAAAGCAUAUUAAGCGGUUGAGAACAGAUAAUGGCAUGGAAUUUUGUGGAGGUGAAUUCAAUGAAUUCUGCAAGAAUGAAGGAAUUGUUCGGCAUCACACCGUCAGAAUGACGCCUCAACAAAAUGGUGUGGCUGAACGUAUGAACAGAACUCUUUUGGAGAGAGCAAGAUGUAUGAUCUCCAAUGCAGGGUUGACAAAUGACUUUUGGGCAGAGGCGAUCAAUAUGGCCUGUUAUAUUGUCAACCGUUCUCCUUCUGCAUCUAUUGAUUUCAAAACUCCUGAGCAAGUUUGGUCAGGUACUCCUGCUGAUUACUCCAAUUUAAAAAUUUUUGGAUGUCCAGCAUACAUGCACGUGAAUGAUGGAAAAUUGGAGCCUAGUGCUAAAAAGUGCAUUUUUCUUGGGUAUGCUUCUGGGGUGAAAGGAUACAGAUUAUGGUGUCCUGAUCCCAAAUCUCCAAAAUUUGUGAUCAGUAGAGAUGUUACUUUCGAUGAAUUGUCUAUGUUAUCUUCCAAGAAAGAGUCUUCUAGUCCUUGUACUACUAAUAGUACACAGAAGCAGGUGGAGCUUCAUAUUGGCAGUUCUGGUCCUUCUCAGUCCAAAUCUUCUAUUCAACAAAUGCCAGUAGAUACACCUGAAUCUACUGUUGAAGAUAGCUCAGAAGAAGAGGAGUAUUCCAUAGCCAGAGAUAGACAAAGGAGAGACAUUCGACCACCACAAAGAUAUGCAAAUUUAGUUGCAUAUGCUUUAUCUGUUGCAGAAGAAACUGAUGCAGUUGGUGAGCCUUCCACCUAUUCAGAAGCAGUUUCUUGUGAUGAUUCUGCAAAGUGGUUGAUUGCGAUGAAUGAAGAAAUUGAAUCUCUUCAUCAGAAUGAAACUUGGGUUCUUAUAAAGCCGCCGUCAGCUAAGAAAAUUGUUGGUUGCAAGUGGGUUUUCAAGAAAAAGGAAGGUAUUCCAGGGGUUGAAGAUGCAAGAUAUAAAGCACGAUUGGUUGCAAAGGGCUAUAGUCAGGUACAAGGUGUUGAUUUUAAUGAUAUAUUCUCACCUGUUGUUAAACAUAGCUCUAUUCGUGUUUUGCUUGCUUUAGUUGCCAUGUAUAAUUUGGAAUUAGAACAACUCGACGUUAAGACAGCUUUCUUACAUGGCGAACUUGAAGAACAAAUUUAUAUGAAACAACCCCAGGGUUUUAAAAUUGAAGGUAAGGAAGACCAUGUUUGCUUAUUGAAGAAAUCCUUAUAUGGAUUAAAGCAGUCUCCAAGACAAUGGUAUAAAAGAUUUGAUUCCUUUAUGUUGGGUCAUGGUUAUUUUAGGAGCAUGUAUGAUAGUUGUGUUUACUUCCGGAAGUUAAAUGAUGGUUCUUUCAUUUAUUUGCUGCUUUAUGUUGAUGACAUGCUCAUUGCUGCCAAGAAUUUGUCAGAAAUUCACACUUUGAAACUGCAGUUAAAUAGUGAAUUUGAAAUGAAAGAUUUGGGAGCAGCUAAGAAAAUUCUUGGCAUGGAUAUCAAGCGAGAUCGAGGAGUAGGGAAAUUGUUCUUGACCCAGAAAAAUUACCUUGAGAAAGUUUUGGAGCGUUUUGGCAUGAAAGAUGCUAAACCAGUAUCUACUCCUCUUGCUAGCCAUUUUCGGCUAUCUGCUGCUCAAUCACCAAAAUCAGAUGAAGAGGAAGAUUAUAUGACACGGGUUCCUUAUUCCAGUGCAGUCGGCAGUGUUAUGUAUGCAAUGGUUUGUACUCGUCCAGAUAUUGCACAAGCAGUCAGUGUUGUUAGCAGAUAUAUGUCUUGCCCUGGUAAAGCACAUUGGCAAGCUGUGAAGUGGAUUCUCAGAUACUUGCGAGGUACUUCAAAUACAUGUUUGGAGUUUGGAAGAAAUAAUAACACUUUGGUUGGUUUUGUAGACUCAAACUACGCUGGGAUCUGACAGGAGAAGAUCACUUUCAGACUAUGUAUUUUGCAUUGGCGGUUGUGCUGUUAGUUGAAAGCUAUCUACAACCUGUCGUAACUUUGUCUACUACUGAAGCAGAAUAUAUGGCUGUGACCGAGGCAAUCAAAGAAGCUUGUGGUUGAAGAGUUUAUUUAACGAGCUAAGUCUAUAUCAAGGUGUUAUUGAUAUUCACUGUGAUAGUCAAAGUGCCAUACACUUGACUAAAGAUCAGAUGUAUCAUGAGAGGACGAAACACAUUGAUGUGAAAUAUCACUUCAUUCGGGAUAUCAUUGCUGAGGGAAAAGUCCUUAUUCAGAAAAUCAAUACUAAGGACAAUCCAGCCGAUAUGUUUACGAAACCUCUUCCAAAUUACAAGUUCAAGCAGUGCUUGGACUUGGUUGGUGUUCGUUAUUGGUGAUUUAAACCGCAUUGGGGCUUAUAUGAAGAAGGUGGAGCAAGUUUAUAAUCUCUCGAUGUUGGGGACUCAUCAAGGUGGAGAUUUGUUGAAGCCGCAUUUGUUGACCAAAUGCUUUUGGUGUUUCGUCCCACAUCGGUAGAAGCCAAAGGAAUUCUUCUUUUGGUUUCCUAUAAAUAAGGGAGCCUGAUGAAGGAAUAAACUUGCACCACUCAAGAGAGUUAUAUGGGCUAUUAGCUUCUUGAGUCAUCUAGCCCAUUCAGUCAAAUAUUUUAGGCUCUCUUGUUUUGAGUUUAGGAAUAUUUUCUAAACUCUUUUGUAAGUGCCUAUUGGCCUAGGAACCACUUUCCUACGGUUUUUUGUAUUUCUUCUUCAUAGUAGAAAUAUUGCUCCUCCCUCGCCCGUGGACGUAGGUCAAUUUGACCGAACCAUGUAAAUCUUCUGUGUCUUUUAUUUGCUUUGUUAUCCGUCUUUAUAUGGUCGGUUUUACCGCCUAAUUAUUAUAUGGCUGGUAUCUACCACCUAUCUAUUAUAUGGUCGGUUAUACCGCCUACUUUGUCCUAACUUGGAUUUGUCUAUUUCCUGGCCCGGUCCUAACAGUUCGGUUUAUUGGUCUCCAAUCUCAAGGCACUGAAUGGAUAGAACACUAAAUUAUAAGAAAAAAUUGUCAGUUAACCAUUAUUCUGUAUUAUUAGGAUGUUGGCAUCAUUAGGUCAUAUUUUUUAGCCCCAUAUGAAGACAUUCAUAGUUUUGAGCAAACUUAGGCAGAAAUAAUACUUUUCUUCAUUCCAAUUGUUUGAAAUUUUUUUGUAAGCUUAGCCUUCUUCUUGAUGAUUUUAUAUCGUAAAUAGACUUCUCUACAUUGACAUGGCUGUGCUGCUGGAAGCAUUUGUUCGGGGUUUAAUUAAGAGCCUUUUAGCAUGUUUUAUGCUCACAGCUCCAACAUCAACUUUUUGUUGCUUCUUGUAUAAUGCUUGCAACUGAGAUGUUGAUUAGUGGAUUUUUGAUCUACUACUUCUUAGCAUUCACACUCUUCAGUGAACUGUAAGAGAAAGGAAGAACUAUGUUUGGGCCUCUUCCUGAGAGACCAUGCACUCUUAAAUGCUUGAUUACAUAGAAUUAGUCCUCUCUUGCUUGCAGUACUGGGAUGUACCAUCCUUCUGAUUGCCAUGGUUAAUUCUGCUUUCUAAACUCAUACUGUUACCUGAUUUUUUACUAAAACUUUGCUGAGCUAGUUCCUUUAUUGACCUGGCUACAUGAUUUUGCUUACUCUUUUGCAGGAAAUUCUAUCUCAUUCAACAACUUUGUCAUUAGUGCUACUAGAUGAAGUAUGUGCUGUGAAGAAGUUCCUAGUUUCAUUUUUUAUUUUUGUUGGGACAAUUUACAGUUCAUUUGUUUGACUCGUUUAUGUGAUUUAAUUUAUAGAGACCCUGCUUGUUUAGAGAUAGCACCAUGCAUUACCUCCUUUUAUAGGUGGGCGCAGGAACAAAUCCCCAAGAAGGCGCUGCAUUGGGAAUGGCAUUGCUUGAAUCUUUUGCAGAGGCUGGUCCAUUACUAACAAUGGCAAACACAUCAUGGAGAACUUAAAACCCUUAAUACAGGUAGUUUGCGAGAAGGUACAAUUUCUUGUCUAACUGCAUGCCAAUCUCGAACUGAUGGCUUCCUGUUGGAAAACACGACUGACAGCAAUACAAUGUGGAAGACAAACAGAGCCACAGUGGCAACCUCAUCGUCUCCUGGGUUCGAGGCAAGCGAGUGGCUCUCACUCGACAUAAAAUCGCCCAAAUCGUCAAACUAAAGGACGAAGGAGAGGAUGUGAAAUUGACCAUGAGUUCAAGGCACGUGACCCAUGGCAAGUGGAAGAAUCUGUGGCACGUCUUAAGGGUCAAUAUCGGGAGCGAGGAAGUUCGAAGAAGCUCAUUGUGUACGCCGAUUCCUUUGAGCAUAGGUACCAUCUGAUCUUCUAUCUCUUCGCCUUCAAUGUGGUACCCAAAAGGAUUGGUAAACGGAGCUCCGGCAACAGUGACCUAACUUCUCGAUGAAAAAUGAUGCAUGAGUAUAGGUAAUGCAUAUGACUGGAAUUCUCCUGCCCAGCAUCAUUAUCAGCUUACAUGAGCCGACCACAGCCUCGCAUGGGGCCGGUCAUACAUGUUUCGGGUUCCCCCGGCUCCUCUCCCUCAUUUUUGAGAAGCUCAAGGUUCCUCUUGGAACCGAACGAGCAGUGGUGACUCGGUCUGCUGAAGAGGUCAAUGCCUCUAUACUCAAGGCUUUAGGCAUUCCUACGGAUUUUGGAGCUGCUCUAGUUCGGGACACAAGAGAAGCUUCGACCUCCACUCAGCCUCCACCUCACACUGAACAACAAGAGCAAGCUCAAGAGACGGAGGCACAGCAGACCCUUCCUCCUCCCACUCCACGACCACCGCCUCCGCCGCGAUCCAAGUUGCAAGAGAUCCUCAAUGCCAUCUGCUGCAUGGAGACACGUGUGAUGGAGCGCAUUGACCAGACCGAGCAGAUGAUGACUGAGCGACUAGACAGGCAGGAUCGUCGCCUUCGAGCAAUGGAGGAUCAUUUCCACAUUCACCGCUCACCUACUCCUACCCCUCAUCAAGAGGAGGGGCCUAGUGGUACAUCUCAGGGAGCUGAGGAGGCAGUAGACCCUCGUUCUGCGCAGUCAUGAAGACCUUCCGAGGAUUCCAUCUUUUAUUGCUUUAUUUUUCUUUUAUUGUGUUCGGUUCAACCUUUGUAGUUUUCUUAUUGGAGUUUCUUGUUCUACCUAUAAGAUAAUUAGUACCCUUGAUGUUUGGAUGGUCGUGAGGAUUAAGGGGUUGAAACUGCAUCACCGCUUACCAAGUGGGAAGUUUUGUUUUCUUGUACCUUCCUCUACAAUGAGGACAUUGUAGAUUUUAAGUGUGGGGGGGGGGAUUACAUACAUUUUGUGGUUAUUGUGUCUUGAAAUGCAUGAAUUUGAUUGUCUAUGGCUUAAACUUUUAUUUGGAAAUAUUGUCUUGAGGUUGUUGGCAGGGAGUUUUGUCCAUUUUUAUGGGGAACUCUGUCAAAAUUUUCCUAAAUAUAUUUUCCAAUAUUAAUGGCCAAAAUGUUCACAUUUUAAGUGCUCAAACUGUUCCAUUGGAUAGAAUGCUAUAUGUAUUUUGGAAGGUUUAGUCCUUAUUUUGUUUGGCAAGAAUUAUUAUGCUUAGAAAGUAUAUUCGGUUAAAUAAGAAAAAUUAUGCUUACAAAUUUGCAAGGUUAAUGAUAUUUCUCAUUUUCACUUCAUUUUAUAAGUAAGUGAUUGAUAUAGUCAAAACAAGGCCAAAUUCUUCCUUUAAUGAUGUUAGAGGGAAAAGAAAUCAUUUCAAAAAAAAAAGAGAGACAGAGAAAAAAUAUAUAUAUUAAUCUUCUACUCCAAUGAUUCACAUACCGAGUAACCGGGGGUUGGCAUCUACAGACCCAUACAUUCGCGUAAAAAGGUAUCGAAAUUAAGAGUAUGCUUAGCAAUUUUAAUAAGUGAAAUGUUGAAUAACCCAGAAUCUUCACAUAAAAGUGUCGAUUUUCGCGUAAAAAGGCGUUUUCACUAUUAAAAUAAAAUGGAAUAUGAAUAAAUCCCUCUCAUUAGUUAAGUUUUGCUGCUAUAAAUGCAUAAAUGUAUAUAAAUAUUUAAACAAUAAAAAUUAUAAAUUACAAAUAAUAUUAAUUAUACAUUUAUACAUAAUAUUAAUAUAUAUUUAUAAAUUAUAAUUUAUAAAUUUUUAUAAUAUUCAUUUAUAAUUUAUACAUUUAUAAAUAAAUUUAUAUUACGUAUUAUAUAUAAUAUAAUACAUUUAUACAUUUACAGUUUUUUUAUCAAUACAUAAAUACAUUUAUUUAUGUACAAGUUUAUAAAUGUAUUAUAAAUGUCAUUUAAGAAAUUUAACUUUUCCACUACAUGAUAGCAAAUUAGAGAAAUUGAUUAAUCAAUUAUUACUAGUAUCAAUAACAAAAUAAUAAAAUACUAUUCUUGUUCAUUCUUAUUUUUUAUUUCACUAUAAAUAAUAAUUGCUAACUUUUCUUUUUUAUGCGGUAUAUAAUAUGUUACUUUUAAUAUAAGUUGUUGAGUAACUACGAAUUCUCAAUUAGUUUAUAGAUACUUAAAUUAUUGAAUUACUAGAUUAAUACACUUUGCAAAAAUUGUUGACGUACUAGAUUAUUACACUUUACAACAUCAGCUACAUAUAUUUUUUAAGAACAAAGAGUUUAUGGUAAAUUAUUAAGAAUGAAUUUAACAAAUAAACAAAUUUAAAAAGUAAUUUAAAAAUUAUUACAAUUUUUAUGCAAUUUUCUAGGAAUUCGUAUUUAUCGGAUGCAACAUAAAGUCCAACCAAAAAGCUUGCUAGAUUGGUGUUGAUUUAUUCCCCCAAAUUAUUAUCAACUAUUGAUGUCAAUAUUAUGGGAUUUUUUUUUUCCUGUUGUGAUGAAUUUAGAGCCUUAAGCAGUAAAAUUUGUAGAAAUUUGCAUUGCAAAUUGUAAAUCAAGAAUUCAUUUACAAUUUUCAAUGAAUUCAUAAAGCAAGACAGAAUGGCAUUACAACUGAAGCAAAAAGAAUAAUUUUUAGGCAAAAUCUAGAAUCCUGUUAUUGGAAAGCAAACAACAUAGGUACAUAGUGCAUACUUGAUCACUAGCAAUAAUCAUAACUGUAAAAUUGCAGCUUGCAGCGCCCACUGGACAAGGAGGUUUUGUCGUUUAAUGCGAGGUACAUGACCUCGCAUUUCAGAAAUGCGAGUUAUAUGUACCUCGCAUUUGUGAAAUGCGAGGUCAUGUACCUCGCAUUUCUGAAAUGCGAGGUUACCUAUUUUUUUUUUUUACUUUUGCUGUUACACAAUUUAAGGCAGUUCGCAUUUAUCAAAUGCGAGCUCAAGGAGCUCGCAUUUGAUAAAUGCGAUCACCCCAAAAACAGAAACUAGUACACAAAAUACCCCCUUUGUAGAAUUUUUUAAAAUCAUAAUAAUUUUAGAAAUUUUUCAGUUUAAAUACAUCAGCAAACCUCGCCCCGCAAAUAAGGAAAAGUUGCAGAUGCCCUUCAAGAUUAGAGAUGUUCUUAUGCAUGUCAAUGUUGCUAUUAAGUCAAAAAUGGAUGCUACUAGUUCGUCUGCAUCAAAGGGAAAAAGAGAAGCUGAUAUGACUCUUGCCGCUUAUGAUUUAUGAAGAUGAUGGCUUUCUUUUUUAACCUUUGCCUUAACAUGCAAUCAUCUUGAACAGUACAAUAUGUAAAACAGGGAUUAGUCAUUGUUGCCUUUGGAUGACUUUCUGUUUGGAAAAAUUUCUAAAAUUAUUAUGAUUUUUAAAAAAAUUCUACAAAGGGGGUAUUUUGUGUACUAGUUUCUGUUUUUGGGGUGAUCGCAUUUAUCAAAUGCGAGCUCCUUGAGCUCGCAUUUGAUAAAUGCGAACUGCCUUAAAUUGUGUAACAGCAAAAGUAAAAAAAAAAAAUAGGUAACCUCGCAUUUCAGAAAUGCGAGGUACAUGACCUCGCAUUUCACAAAUGCGAGUUAUAUGUACCUCGCAUUUCUGAAAUGCGAGGUCAUGUACCUCGCAUUAAACGACAAAACCUCCUUGUCCAGUGGGCGCUGCAAGCUGCAAUUUUACAGUUAUGAUUAUUGCUAGUGAUCAAGUAUGCACUAUGUACCUAUGUUGUUUGCUUUCCAAUAACAGGAUUCUAGAUUUUGCCUAAAAAUUAUUCUUUUUGCUUCAGUUGUAAUGCCAUUCUGUCUUGCUUUAUGAAUUCAUUGAAAAUUGUAAAUGAAUUCUUGAUUUACAAUUUGCAAUGCAAAUUUCUACAAAUUUUACUGCUUAAGGCUCUAAAUUCAUCACAACAGGAAAAAAAAAAUCCCAUAAUAUUGACAUCAAUAGUUGAUAAUAAUUUGGGGGAAUAAAUCAACACCAAUCUAGCAAGCUUUUUGGUUGGACUUUAUGUUGCAUCCGAUAAAUACGAAUUCCUAGAAAAUUGCAUAAAAAUUGUAAUAAUUUUUAAAUUACUUUUUAAAUUUGUUUAUUUGUUAAAUUCAUUCUUAAUAAUUUACCAUAAAGUCUUUGUUCUUAAAAAAUAUAUGUAGCUGAUGUUGUAAAGUGUAAUAAUCUAGUACGUCAACAAUUUUUGCAAAGUGUAUUAAUCUAGUAAUUCAAUAAUUUAAGUAUCUAUAAACUAAUUGAGAAUUCGUAGUUACUCAACAACUUAUAUUAAAAGUAACAUAUUAUAUACCGCAUAAAAAAGAAAAGUUAGCAAUUAUUAUUUAUAGUGAAAUAAAAAAUAAGAAUGAACAAGAAUAGUAUUUUAUUAUUUUGUUAUUGAUACUAGUAAUAAUUGAUUAAUCAAUUUCUCUAAUUUGCUAUCAUGUAGUGGAAAAGUUAAAUUUCUUAAAUGACAUUUAUAAUACAUUUAUAAACUUGUACAUAAAUAAAUGUAUUUAUGUAUUGAUAAAAAAACUGUAAAUGUAUAAAUGUAUUAUAUUAUAUAUAAUACGUAAUAUAAAUUUAUUUAUAAAUGUAUAAAUUAUAAAUGAAUAUUAUAAAAAUUUAUAAAUUAUAAUUUAUAAAUAUAUAUUAAUAUUAUGUAUAAAUGUAUAAUUAAUAUUAUUUGUAAUUUAUAAUUUUUAUUGUUUAAAUAUUUAUAUACAUUUAUGCAUUUAUAGCAGCAAAACUUAACUAAUGAGAGGGAUUUAUUCAUACUCCAUUUUAUUUUAAUAGUGAAAACGCCUUUUUACGCGAAAAUCGACACUUUUAUGUGAAGAUUCUGGGUUAUUCAACAUUUCACUUAUUAAAAUUGCUAAGCAUACUCUUAAUUUCGAUACCUUUUUACGCGAAUGUAUGGGUCUGUAGAUGCCAACCCCCGGUUACUCGGUAUGUGAAUCAUUGGAGUAGAAGAUUAAUAUAUAUAUUUUUUCUCUGUCUCUCUUUUUUUUUUGAAAUGAUUUCUUUUCCCUCUAACAUCAUUAAAGGAAGAAUUUGGCCUUGUUUUGACUAUAUCAAUCACUUAUAAAAUGAAGUGAAAAUGAGAAAUAUCAUUAACCUUGCAAAUUUGUAAGCAUAAUUUUUCUUAUUUAACCGAAUAUACUUUCUAAGCAUAAUAAUUCUUGCCAAACAAAAUAAGGACUAAACCUUCCAAAAUACAUAUAGCAUUCUAUCCAAUGGAACAGUUUGAGCACUUAAAAUGUGAACAUUUUGGCCAUUAAUAUUGGAAAAUAUAUUUAGGAAAAUUUUGACAGAGUUCCCCAUAAAAAUGGACAAAACUCCCUGCCAACAACCUCAAGACAAUAUUUCCAAAUAAAAGUUUAAGCCAUAGACAAUCAAAUUCAUGCAUUUCAAGACACAAUAACCACAAAAUGUAUGUAAUCCCCCCCCCCACACUUAAAAUCUACAAUGUCCUCAUUGUAGAGGAAGGUACAAGAAAACAAAACUUCCCACUUGGUAAGCGGUGAUGCAGUUUCAACCCCUUAAUCCUCACGACCAUCCAAACAUCAAGGGUACUAAUUAUCUUAUAGGUAGAACAAGAAACUCCAAUAAGAAAACUACAAAGGUUGAACCGAACACAAUAAAAGAAAAAUAAAGCAAUAAAAGAUGGAAUCCUCGGAAGGUCUUCAUGACUGCGCAGAACGAGGGUCUACUGCCUCCUCAGCUCCCUGAGAUGUACCACUAGGCCCCUCCUCUUGAUGAGGGGUAGGAGUAGGUGAGCGGUGAAUGUGGAAAUGAUCCUCCAUUGCUCGAAGGCGACGAUCCUGCCUGUCUAGUCGCUCAGUCAUCAUCUGCUCGGUCUGGUCAAUGCGCUCCAUCACACGUGUCUCCAUGCAGCAGAUGGCAUUGAGGAUCUCUUGCAACUUGGAUCGCGGCGGAGGCGGUGGUCGUGGAGUGGGAGGAGGAAGGGUCUGCUGUGCCUCCGUCUCUUGAGCUUGCUCUUGUUGUUCAGUGUGAGGUGGAGGCUGAGUGGAGGUCGAAGCUUCUCUUGUGUCCCGAACUAGAGCAGCUCCAAAAUCCGUAGGAAUGCCUAAAGCCUUGAGUAUAGAGGCAUUGACCUCUUCAGCAGACCGAGUCACCACUGCUCGUUCGGUUCCAAGAGGAACCUUGAGCUUCUCAAAAAUGAGGGAGAGGAGCCGGGGGAACCCGAAACAUGUAUGACCGGCCCCCAUGCGAGCUGUAGUCCUCAUGUAACUGAUAAUGAUGCUGGGCAGAGGAAUUCCAGUCAUAUGAUUACCUAUACCAUGCAUCAUUUUAUCGAGGAAGUAUAGGUCACUGUUGCGGAGCUCCCGUUUUCCACUCCGUUUUGGUACCACAUUGAAGGCAAAAAGAUAGAAAAUCAGGUGGUACCUAUGCUCGAAGGAAUCGGCAUAUACGGUGAGCUUUUUCGAACUUCCUCGCUCACGGUAUUGACCCUUAAGACGUGACACAGCUUCUCCCACUUGCCAUGGGUCACGAGCCUUGAACUCCUUAGUCAAUUUGAUAUCUUCUCCUGAGUCUUUGAGUUUGGCCCACGUGGCAACUUUGUCUCGAGUGAGAGCCACUCGUUUGCCUCGGACCCAGGAUUGGAUCAGAUUGCCACUAUGGCUAUGUUUGUCUUCCACAUUGGCAUAAAACUCUCGGAUCAGGAUAGGAUAGUAAUGCUUGGGCAACUUGAGUAUGUCCUCCCAACCAAGUCGCUUGAAGGCCGUGGAGAUCUUGUAAUGGUCAUCCACCUCCGGCGCCAAGUGCUUCUCAACUAUUAUUUCUUUGUCUAAACCGGCUUCGUACCACUGCUGAUUCUCAAUUGAUGUGAAACGUGUGGUAUCGUAGUCCGGAGGUGGUUCGUCACGACUGGUAGAUGCCGUCUUACGCCUAGAACGAGGUGGGGACUGAGGAGAAGGAGAUUCGUCUUCAGGCGACUCCUCUUGUAAAGAGGGUGUAUGUUCCUCACUCGAUGAAGGUGUAGGAGUGCGAAUCACUGCCCUUCGUGUGCGAGCCAUGAUGCCUGGAUUACAAACAAGAUUCAACACAAAUUAGAAGCAAUACAAAACAUAACAAACACAAUUGUCUUAAUGAGUUAAGAAAAUUUCGGCAGAGUUUCCCCUUGAAAAAGGGCUAAACUUCCUGCCAGCUGCACCCAAAAACAAGCACAGAACCUGGUUAAAUAAUUUUAGAUACAGUGGUGGGCAUGUAUAAUAUGAAUUUCUAUCCCCAUUGUCAACACAUGGUUUGAACAAUCCACUUUUCGAUUUUGUGAAUCCCAUCUUUCAAUUAGAAGGUCAUUUAAAAGUCCAAUCCCAUGUUGUCAAUGUUAAGCUUUCAAGUAGUUGACAUAUAGAAGUAAAAUGACCCAAAUUAAGAGUUCAUGUGCAUAAAGCUAAAAAUUAAGAAAUGUCAGCUGCACAAUAAUACCAAAUCCACGAAGCUUAAUGAUAAUUUCAGGUGCCUUUGAGGCUCAAAUAACUCAUCUUCACCUAGUUUAUUAUUCUAAGCAACUGAUACAAAACAUAUAGAGACCAGUCGGUUCAACAUUGCAAAUUUAAUAUUGUCAAUAUCCAAUAAUUAUGGUUGCAGAAAACCACGUAUCUUCUGAUAUUGGGAGAAAACCUGAGUAACUAGUGCAUCCUAUACAAGUAAAAUUCAGGAGCCAAAUGAGGAAUGCUCUUUGCUUCAACAAAAGUUUGUGACACGCCACAUUAUAUAUACUGUUUACGACUCUUUGAAUUAUUGCAGCACCAAGCUUAAUGAGUAGUUAAACGUGAUUUCCUCCGGUGUAUCAAAAAAUUUGUCUAGAUGAGUAGUUAAACAAGACAUUUAUACAAUUAGUAGAAAAGCAUAACUCGGAUCCUUUUUUAUAAAGACGCGAGUAAAUAAAAAUUGCAUAAUGUAGCACAAUUCUAAAUAAAAAUUACAACAAUUAUACAAUUACCAAAAUAUUGACAAAAAUUGAAAAAUAAUGAAAACUGGUACGUGCCUUAAAUUGCAAAUAAAGUUGCAAAUUGUUACCUCAACUGGUUGGAAUGAUGGAGGAAGAUGAUAAAGAUGGAAAAAUUGAAACAUAAGCGACCCAAAUUAGUCCCCAAAUUGAAGAAAUGGAUUUGGGCCCUAAUUUUUCGUUGAAGAUCAAAACACCACAAAUUUCUGUUUUUGAUUGUAGAAAACUCAGGGUUUAAGCGCAAAAGAGGUUGAGAGAUGGUUUUAUGAUGAAAAAACAGAUGAUAAUUGGUCGAAAUGGAAGAUUGGUGAGGGUGGGGAAGGGUUUCGUUAGGAGGAAUGCGAGAAAACUGGAAAAAAUGACGAACCGAGGCCGCGGGUGACUGUAUAAUGCUAAAGAUCCGAGCUCGGAUCUAACUGUGUUUGUUAGAUCCGAGGGCGGAUUCACAAUUUUCAGUAUCAUGAUUUCGAGGAUCCGAGCACGGAUCCGUGUUGAUCAUCCCUCGGAUCCGAGAUGUCUCGGAUCACCGCUCCCGGUAGUUCAGACGAGCCCUCGUAUCCAUCACAGUUUUUUGGAUCCGAGGGCGGAUUCACAAUUUUCGGAUUUUGAGUUCGAAGAUCCGAGGUCGGAUGUGUUUUAUCACCCCUCGGAUCCGAAAGGGCUCGGAUCAUCGCUCACGGUAGUUCAGACGAGCCCUCGGAUCUAUCUGAGUUUUGUUGGAUCCGAGGUCGGAUUUGUAAAGUGAAAGCCAUGGGUUCGAAUGAUCCGAGCGCGGAUCCUUUCUGGGUUUUUUGGAUCCGAGCUCGGAUCGUUUCGAUCCUGCAUCAUUUACAGAAACUGCAAUUUCCACCAAACUUUUUCUCCAAUUUUCACCAAAUUCGGAAAUACACAUUUGACAACCUGUUCAUCAAAUCUAACCCCCCACGCAAGUGUAAUAUACCAAAAACACAAUAUCCAACCAAUCAAAACACAUCAAACAUGUCCACAUUUCAAAACAAGGCGUGAGGUUCUUUGAUCUUUUUUACACAUUUACACCAAAAUGACACCUUUAGGUCUCGUAUGCACAUUGAAUGAGUCCAUGUGCAAUUAUAAACAUGUUUUCACCGAAACUCACUGGAACAUUCAUGUGGUGGCCAUUUUAUAUGCUCCAUGAAUAUAUAUAUAUUCAUAUAUAUAUAUAUAUGUAUAUAUAUGUUUAUAUAUAUACAUCUACUAUCUUUUGAAAAAAAUUGGACAGAAUCUCCCCUUAAAAGUGGACUAAACUCCCUGCCAGCAAAUCCAAAGUCAUGAACAUUUCAUCUAAGCAAUAUUUCCGACAACUUGUCCAAAUACAAAACAUAAAACUACUCCAAGUCCCACACAUUUUUCUCCCCUACACUUAGAAUAAUAUUCAUAACAGGAGCAACCAAUUACAGUUUUGAACAUCAAUGAUGUCCAAGUUUUCCAUGCGUGCCACAUCCUCUGGGUUUGUGUGCUCUUUGUGUGCGACGUGGCUGGGCUGGCAUCACUAUAUCGACUUGCGUAAUUUGUGACUCAAGUCUUUGAUCAAGUGCUUGGGUACUUUGGCCUGCAUCUGUACCUCCUACAUGUUGUUCACCACUGCCAUGGAGCUCGUCUGUAUUGGGCGUAAACGCCUCCAUAAGUACUGGGCCCCUAGAAUGACCAAAAGGUCCGGUAGAGGUGCCCUGGUGCUCAGUAGCCUGUGACCUUCCAUCAAGUCCGGUUUGGACGGUGGGUUCUGGUGAUCGAAAUCUACGACGGCGUCCACCGCCAUGCUGACCUCCGUGAACAUUCCUAGGAGCUCUUUCAACGCGAUUGGGGUCGGUUGGCUGUGGAAUUUGCUGUGGCACUCGUGAAGGGCGAAAUGCAAGUCGGGAUGACUCCCCUACAGUUUCCAAUGUCAUGGAUGCAAAGUCCUUCAUUGCAUUAAAAUAAUUCGUGUGCUGUUCGUCACUCUGCGUUAGAGAGGUCUCUGCCAUGUAAUACACCUGAGUCCGGGACUGUCCGGGACUGUAUUUAACUAGUUGUAAGGAAAACUGACCAGAUAUUGUGUUCUGGCGCUAUCACCCUGAAAGCCCUCCGGUAAAAUGAGCUGCCUAGUAGGAUUUGAAACAUAUACCACUGUUCGCUCGCGAUACCACUGACGAUACUCAUCGGAUGGAUAUGUGGGAUCUUCAGCUACAACACCAUCUUCCACAUGUGAAUGACGAUCAGUCCACACCUCAACAUAUGCUCGAUGUGCAGUUAACCAGUCUUGGUUCCCCUUGCCACGACGAUCAAGAGAAUGCAGUUCCUGUUGAUUUUCGGUCAAUCUUAUAUCAGGCACGGGCUGAUGAUAUCCGAACUGUCUCAUAACUCGAUUGGAAAGAUGUGGCUCGACAACUUCCCAACAUAUGAGAUACGUGACAGAUGUCCAAAUGCGGCGUCCUGCAGUACAAUAGGGAGGCAGAGAAGCGAGAAUAUCGUCCGAGUAUGGCUGCCAUAUGAACUGCAAGGCCAAUAAUUAUUCAAUGACAUAACCUUCAACCAACUAUGACCCUAAUUUUAAUGGAAAAAGUGCUGUGCCAUAUAACGGCAAAGGACCCAAUCGUAAAAGCAUCAAAUGAUGUUACUGUACCUCUCGGGCCCGUAAGCCCGUCAACUGAUCUCGGAAUAUAGAUACAACAUGUCUUGCAACUCUAUGCACAUCAAAUUGAACAUUCCAUCUGCAGGGAACGAAUUAGAGCCGUUGUGUCUUAAAGGCGAAAAUUUUGAUUUUUAUUAGUACUAUAUACAUAUAUUUGAUAUACAUACCGAGCUCCAUAUGGACCAGGAUAGUGCUCUAACGGAUGCACUCGAUCAGGGCGAACUGUUGGUAUACGUUCCCACGCCCAUAGCUGUAUUUAAAUUGUAUUUGAAUAUAUUAAUUGACCAUGUAAACUCCUCUAUAGUUAAAUCUAGACACUUUGAACGAGACAAAUGUACCUGAAGCAACAUCAAUGGUCCCGCAAUGGACGAUCUAUAGGGAGAUGUGGCGCUACACAAUGAUCGAUACAAAGUUGCUAAUAUCGCACUACCCCAGCUAUAUUGCCCAACAGUUUUCAAAUCUCGUAGUAAUGGCAUAUACAACAACGGGACUUUAUUACCAGAUUUAUCUGAUAAUAAAUGACCGCCUAAUAGCAGAAGCAGGUAUACGCGGGCCCGCUGUCUACAGUGGACAUCCGAAGCAUCGGGUGGCAACCCUGCAUCUAAUACUCUAGAUAAACACCCCAAUUUCAGCCGUCGCCCAUCAAAAUCUGACAUCAAGGGAGAAAAACCAAGCAACUCCUCACAUAAAUUCACUCACUCCUGAACACUAUGAGUUGUAUCUAUCCCUAUAACUGGAGGACCAUCUAUGGGUAGACCCCACAGAACCUCAACAUCCUGUAAGGUAACUGUAGUCUCUCCAACGGGGAGAUGAAAGGUAUGAGUCUCGGGCCGCCAUCGCUCCACUAAACUAGUGAUCAAAGCAUGAUCGAGCAUCAUAUAUCCACAGUCAAGCACCCCUUCAAAGCCAGCCAAUCGAAUAUAAUGCCGAACAGUCUCUGGGAUAGGUGUAUGAUCCCAAAAAUGCCUAUCACAUCGUCUGACAUCAAGCUGAUCACCUAGAAUGUGCCCGUCAAAUAUAGAACGUGCCUGGUGUGCAGUGCCAGCUGAGAUGAUAUCAUACACAAAUGGGCCCGGAUGCAGGACUGCCCCCGUAGAAAUGUCGGCCAUACCUCUGACAACAAUAGCUGCAAAUACAUUAUAUAACAUAUAAGCCUACACACAUUUGAAUAGAAGAAUAGGAGUUUCUUCAACUAAUGCAACACUUUAAAUACAGAGCUGCUAAAAAUAAGGUCAAAAUUAUGACCCGAUUGAAACAUUGAUCAACAACAUGUAUCUCAUAAAUCAUAUUAAUUUCAUAAUCCCAAAAAUUACAGAUAUCAUAGUACACUGGUUCAUAUCCCUAAAACGGAUGACAUCAAGCUCUAAAAUUUGGACAAUUUCUUCUAUUAUGGCCCGAUUGAUGACAAUUUGUACAUCUUCUUGGCACCUCUGGGUCUCUCUCAUCCAUCUCAUUCCGAAUUCUUCUAACUCGUACCCUUCCAGCCCGACGUGCAACAUAUUUACUACUAUCUGCCCGCAGCUCCCAAUCUGGUUGGAACCAAGUAUCCGGAUGUGGCAAAGGGCUAAACUUUCCUGAAUACUGCACCGCCCACCGCCUAUUUGUAAAUUGGGGAUCUAUAAGUGCACCAGAAUUAUCACCUCGGUGCCUGCACACGGCCAUCACGUGCGAACAGGGAAGUCUGUAGCACUGCCACUUACCACAAGAGCAUGUUUUAUCAAAAUACUUUACCGUUUGUGUAUUACCCCCUUUACCAUCCACACGUCUACCAGUCACAAUUUUGUACAUCCCCGAUGAGCCAUCGAACUCAACAACCCUGUGGGUUCCCGCUUUCAGGUCCGAAUUCUUAAACCGCCGUCAUAUCUUUGGAGGAAAUGGAUAACGGCAAUGUCUAGCAUCCUCUCUUCUUGUUUUAAACAACUCAACAGUCCGAUGAAAUGUCAUAUCAAUACAAGCCCGGAUAGGCAAAUGACGAGCUCCUCUAAGUACAUUAUUAUAACUUUCGGAAAUGUUGGUUGUAAGAAUACCCCAACGGUUCUCACCGUCAUGUGUUAGACACCACUUCUCAGCUCCAAUGUUAGACAGAUAACUCCAUGCAUCUGGAAACAUGUUCCUCAAUUCUCGUUUGAAUGCCCGCCACUUGCGCAAUUGUCUGGCUUUUCCCAUUGCCCAACAUAACCUUCUAAGGUGCAAGCCUUUGAAGUGACUCAUUAGGUUACUCCUAACGUGUCGUAGACAAAAUCUAUGAAAGGUCAAAGGUUCUUGCCAAUAGUCAUAAUGUGUCAUGGCAUGGAUGAUACCAUUAUGCCGAUCCGAAAUGACACAAAUAGGAUACCGAUCACGGGCCACAUUGUAUCUUAGUUGUUCCAUGAACCAAGACCAACUACAAAUAGUUUCUUCGUCGACAAUGGCAUAGGCUAGCGGAAUAAUGUGGUUGUUGGCAUCUUGCGUAACUGCAACAAGUAGUUUGCCUUUAUAUUCGCCCCGCAGAUGAGUGCCAUCAACACAUAUAACCGGUCGACACAUGUGAAAUGCAUCAAUAGCCGGUCCAAAAGCCCAGAAGACAUACUUAAAUGUCUUCAGACGAUCCGUACUAUCAGAAUGGUGCAACCACCUGAUCACAGAUCCCUGAUUUGACUGCAUAAGUGCAUCAACAUAUUUCGGCAGUUCAGCAAAAUUGGCAUCCCAAGAACCAAAUAUAAGUUCAAUAGCUUUGCGUCUGCCGUACCAAGCCUUUUUAUAGGACACGUCCACCUUCAAAACUUUCUUGACAUGGCUUACUAUAUUCUUUACUUUAAACCCAGGAUCAUCUUCAAUGCUACGAACUAUGUGUCUAGCAAUAACCGAAGAUGUAAGACUAGCAUUGCUAUUACUCAUCAAAUCACCAACACAAUUAUGGUCGUUGACCCAUUUGGUUAUUUGCCACAGUCCAUGAGUCUUUUUUUUCACUGCUCGGACACACCAGUCGCAUGGAGGAUACGAUACGUUGGCCACAGUGGUGGUGCUCCUUUCAAAUGCAGAUUUACAUUUGGCAACCCAAGUAUUACUCUUGCUCUCAACAACCCUAAACUCCCUAUUAUGAUUGAUAGACCACAUUCUAAUAGCCCUGCUCAGCUGUUGUUUGCUCUCAAAUCUCAUAUGUAGACAUAUGUGAUUAUUAUCCUCACUAAAUGUCACAAUACGUUCCAACCCACUUUCAUCAGUGAAUUGGUCGUCAUCAUUUAUAUUUCCAAGGUUAGAGAAGAAUUCGAAUCCUCGUGGAACAUACGAAAGGUUGGCAAAUGCAGCAAAGGGCUGUUGGUUCCCAAGAUCCUGGUGGACUACACGUCUUUCAUUUUCGCCAUCUGAGUCACUGUCUGACACAUCUACCGACUCAGAUUCUUCCACAUCUUCUACAUCAUUUUCCAAAUCAUCAUCUAUCAAUGUGUUACAAUGACUUGGACCAGCAGUCGAAUCGAACCCAUAAGAAGGCACAUGAUUCGGCGAUACGUGGUCUCUAAAACUUUGAAUCGAGUCAAGGCCUUCAACAUAUUCAACAUCCGUCCUUAAGCCUGACGUGAACCGUGGCUCUACCACGUCCCUAACACAAUCCCCAUGUAGUCGUUGUAGACACCAAAUUUUGGUGUAAUUUCAUUUACUAAUUAUUUUUUAGUCUGUGCUCGUUUUUUUCACUUUUUAGUUUUUAGUUUUUUAGUUUUUUGUGUUAUUAUUAUUUUUAAGUUUUUAGCAUAGAAUUUCUUGAAAAUGAAAAAAAAAAGGAAAAAGAAGGAAAAAGUGAAAAAUGAUGAAAAAUGAAAAAUGAAAGGAAAAGAAUGAAAAUGGCAAAAAUAGGUGGAAGUGUGUGCAUGUUGAACAAGUGUACAAAACAAUCAUGGGACAAGUGGUUAAGGAAUUUGAGGGACAAGUGUCCCUUUUGUUUAAUUGACAACACAACAUUUAGGAGGACACUUGUUUAGCUUAGAAGGGAGGUUUGAGAAUUGGAGGGAAAAAAAAGAAAAAGAGGCCACGGAUGGGAGAAAAACAGAGAAAUAAGAGCUUGAGGGGAGAGCUACGACUAAAAAGGGAAAAGAUUGAAAAAGGCUUUGGGGGUUUUGAGGCUGAAAAACAGAGGGGCGGCGGACAAGGAUAGAGGAGCCGAAAAAAGACUAAGAAAAAGGGAGGCUAGGGAAAAACAGAGGGCAAGAACAGAGGAAAAAUCUGAAGUUGGGGGAGUUUUUCGGGUAGAGAAAGACGAGCGAGAGAGAAUGAAAACAACAAAAAGAAACAAAAGAAAACGGAAAAGAAAAACAGAAGGCUUGGUCUGAUGAAAGAGGAAAGAAAUGAACAAAGAUAGGAGGAGCUCUUGAGGGCUGAGGAACAAAAGAAAAGCAGAGGAAGAAGCUUCGGCAGGCAGCAACCAAAGAAAAAUAGGGGAAGGGGUUUCGGUAAAAAGGAAAAGAGAGCAAGAGCGGAAAAAUCUGGGAAUUAAAUGAGAGAUGGAGCCAGAGAGUAAGCCAAACGAAGGAAGACUAGAAAAUUUUCAAUCAAGACUCCCUCGUCGGCGUCCAUCUCUCCAACAGCGCCGCCGCCAAUUUCGUUCCCAAUAUCAACUUCUCGCCCAUGGCCACCGCCAUCAGCGGAUCUUCACCAAGGAGAUGCGUUUGGGGAGAGGGAGCUUCGGCUGCAAUAAGAAGAAGAAAAACAGAGCAAAGGGGAAACAAGAAAGAAAGCGAUGGCAGCAGCAGCACUUUCCCGGCUUUCCUCCCCUGUUGCCAUCCCCGGUACCCUCAUGCCAGGAACCAACGCCGCUCAUGUCAACCACCACAAGCGCCAUCCAGCUGCCUGCCCGAGAGUCGAAACUACCGCUGCCGGAAUCGGUCAUCACUGCUUGCAAGGCUUCACCGUGAGAGGCCACAGUACAGUAAGGUAACCUUUUCAUUUAUGUUUCACUCUCCUGUCAAAGUAUAUUUUCUGUAAGGUUGGCAUCUCAAUUUUCGCAUCGAUUGUUCAUGGACAUUUUCUGUAUGUUGAUUAAAUUGGUUUCUUGUGGGUUUGCUGUAAAUUGUGGGGCUGAGUAUAGCUUCAAUUGAGUAAAAGAUUAGUGAAAUUUUUUAUGCCUCUAACCCGUUCGACGAAAUGCUAUGCUGAAAAUCCCAACCCCAAGCAUGUUUCCCGUGAAUCUAUUAUUGCAAUUUCUUGCAUAAUACUCUAUGGGUUGAUUGGACUGUAUUUCUUGGGGUUUCUGAUAAAAUUUCUGGGCUGAUUAUAACUUCAAUUGAGCAACAUUUGGGGAAAUUUUUUAAUGUCUGUUGGUUGCUCGAUGAAAUGUCCAACCAAGACUCCAGUUUCAAGAAUGAAUCGAUUUCUGUUUUUGCAUAACAUUCGGCCAUUUCAAUGCUUGUUAAAACAUGAUAGCUGAUGGUUAGGCUAAAGGGCCGCUGUUGUCCUUUUGACCUGCAAUGGUUUAAUACGCAUCACUGGGUUGUGUUGAUCAAGGGGGGGUUUGAAUUUGCUAAAGUGGCUUGUUUACUUCGAAUCUGUGUCGUGUGGUUCCUGGGGUGAGUUACAGAAGAAAGAAAUGAAAAGAAAGCUGCAAAAGAGCUUCGGCCAAGAUGCACAAUGAUUUCUGAUAUUUUAAUUAACCCCUCACAUUUUCCCUUAUUCUGCUAUGGCCCAAAACUUGGCAUAAUUGAACUAAUUCUGUCCUUUUAAGUUUAAUUCUCUGUUUGCAUAUUUUAUGUGACUUUGUGGAUAGAUUAAUUUUUUAUUUUAGGUCAUAAUUGUGGCUAAUAAUUUUUGUUGAUUUAAUCAUGUUAGGUGCUUGUGAAAAGGUGUUUUGGGUUAAAAGGUUAUUUCUACUUGGGUUUAGGGGAGUGGGUUUAAUCUUCUUAUUUUGGGUUUUUUUGGGUUUGGAUUAGAGGAUGGAAGCCCACUGGUUUGUUUGAUCAUAAAUAAUAGGCUGGCCCAUUCCAUUUGCCUUGAUUUUUGAAAUGGGUUUAAGAAGGUUUUGGCCCAAGAGAUGAAUAAAAUGGCCCAAUGGCCUGUUGAGUCAAGAAGUCUGAUGAUGAAAUUUCAUUCCAGCCCCCUAACUUUCGGAUACUUUCACUGUGGCCCUGGAUAUUUUCAACUUCUUUCAAAUUGGUCCUUACUUUAAUUGCAAAUGAGUCCCUGAACUUUAUUUUUCUUUAAAUUUUGACCCCAAAGCUUUGUUAAUUGUCGCAAUCAAGUCCUUCAUUGUUUUAAUUUCUCGAAUGUAGAUUGUUUAUAUGAUUUAAUUAAUUUAAUUUCAUGAUUCAUUUUUAUCUUUUGUGAUUAUUUUCUUGAUUAAAGUGAUGCCUUGAUGCUUUUAUUAUUUUGGAGGAUAAAUAAGUUGAUUUCACUCCAUUAGAGCUUCAUUUCAAGGGAGGUAUAAUUUCUUUUAUCUUUUUGUGUCUCUCCUAUGUGCUCCAAACGUGCUAAGUGAAAUACAUGUCUACUUUGCUUUCCUAGCCUUUCUUUAAUUUCUUUUAUUUAUGUCAUUUACUUUUGCUUUUCAUUUAAGUUAUUCUUUAUGGGGUAUGUGUACACCUCUUGGCUUGUAAUAGAUAGGGUUUGGAGGAGCAUUCAAUGAAGACUAUCGAAGUCAUGUGCCUAGCUAGCAAAUGUAAUAGUUAGGACUUUAAUUAUCUUAUGUGUCUUGCAUGCUUAAUUACUACGUGUUAAUGCUUUGUUAGGGCCUUGCAUCUAGUCGAGCAUGCUAAAUGUUAUGUGCUAUGUGUUUAUAAGUGUUUGGCAUGUCUACUCGCUUUCCAUAGCCUGAAUGAAUGUGAUGGAUGAAUGUACGUUUCCACUAGUCCAACGCUAGUCGGAAUUCAUAGAAUGGGCUAGUCCAACGCUAGACCCUUAGGGAUUUCCUUUCGUUAGUACACAUUUGCAUGUUCAUUACAUGUCAUGCAUUCUUUUUAGUUUUAUCAUUUUGCAUGCCCUCGAACCCCUUUUCCCUCCAUUUUAGGAUUUUUGCAUUUCAUGCUAGUUAUAGGGUUCAUUUGCUUGAGAGUCCCCUUAAAUAUGGGAUAUAGACGAGUGUGGCUUUUUCUAAGCCUUAGCACGCUUGUAUUCCCUCUAUAAAAGGGCAAAUUGAGUCACGAUUUAGGUCUCCCCGUACCCAACAUGCAUGAAUUCCCUAGGCUCAUGCAUUUUUAAUCCACUCUACCAUUUUAUACCCUCAUGACACUUUCAUCUUUCCUCCUCAUUUUGCACACGUGCACCUUUAUGUUGCUUCACUUGCACACGAACACUUUUAUCGUCACUUGCACACAUGCACUUCAUAUUAUCAUUUCACAUACCGUACCUUACCCACUCACGUGCACAUUUUCAUUUACAUAUUUAUUGUCUUUUAUUACUUUUUCAAACUCAUGUCCUCACAUUGCAUACAUGCAUUCCAUUCAUUUGCAUCCCACUCGCAUUAUUCGUGACUUCUUCAAAGGAUUGUUAUUGGGCUUCACAAUUAAUGUGAUUGGCACCACUCAACCGUUGAAGAGAAAUUUCCCCCAAUACCCCUAGGUCUAGGGUUUGCAUUCAUGUAGCACAUCCAAAUGUAAUAAAUUCUUUGGUUAAAACAAGAAAAUCUUUGAUUAAAUCACGAAACUAGCCUUGGCUAGGUCGAAGGGGUGCCUUGGAUUUUUAUCCUUGCCUUCCCCUUCGUCAAAUGUGACUCCCGAACCUUUUUCGCUGGUUUACGUGGACUAGGAGUCGUUUAAAAGGGGUUUCUUACUACUUUUUCCUAUUUUUUCUUUAAAAAUUCAUUUUUGGUGACUUGGUACACCUUAACUCAUUACCAAGUGGCGACUCCAAAUUUUUAUUUCAAAAACCCUUUUUUUUUGGGUCAAAUCGUCGCAUUCUCAACCCCCCAUUUAGACCCAUUUUUUCUUUUAAAUCACAAUUCAUUUUCCAAUCACAAAAAUACAUUUUUAAACCAUUUAUUUAUUUAUUCAAAAAAUGGGGCGCGACAGUCGUUGUGAUACCGAUGCUGUCUCUGGUACCACUGUACUAGAGUAGGAUCGAUACCUAGUUGGAUCCAUGCAUGCAUGGACAAGCGACAUCAUCGGCCCAAUAUUGGUAGUUGGUGGAAUGAAUGUGCUACUGACGAGAGGAUUUUGGACUAUUUCCUCCUUCUCGAUAUAAAGUUCAGCGAUGUAUGGGACAAGUUCGUUCCAGACAUCAUACAUUAUCUCCAGAGUUUCAUCAUCCACCACUGGAGAGACAUUAUAAGAAGUACGGCCACAAGGUUGGCGGAGAAAUAAAUUCAACUUGAACAGCCCCCUAUCGACCCCCAUGUAUUCAUAAAUUCUAUCCACCAGCUCAUCAUAUCCAAUUCUAUGCCGUAAUGAGAAUGUACGGUUGGAAGUACGAGGCAAAUAACAAAUUGACCCAUCUUCAUAGUGUAUUUUACCUCCCCAAUAAAGAGAUACUCGCAGAGGUCUUUCUAUAGACAUAUCAAAGAAAACAAUCCCUAUGUUGGAAAAAAUAAAUUAUAAUUAGUAGUACAAAACUAUGUAAAGUGUAUUAAUGUAGAAGGUCACCAAUUUUUGUAAAGUUUAUUAAUCUAGUAAUUCAAUCAUUUAAGUACCUAUAAACUAAUUAAGAAUUCGUAGUUACUCAACUACUUAUAAUAAAAGCAACAUAUUAUAUACCACAUAAAAAAGAAAGGUUAACAAUUAUUAUUUGUAGUGAAAUACAAAAUAAGAAUGAACAACAAUAGUAGUUUAUUUUUUUUUCCUAUUGAUACUACUAAUAAUUGAUUAAUCAAUUUCUCUAUUUUGUUAUUAUAUAUUUGAAAAGUUAAAUUUCUUAAAUGACAUGGAAUUCAACAUUUGGGAAAAAAUCUUUUACUCACAUACAUUUUUUUGUAUAAAAUAAAGCAAUACGAAAUUAAGAAAUAAACAAAUUUUGACUAAUCUAGUCUACUUAUUUAAACAAUUGUUUAAAGAAAAAAAGGAAGAAUUUAAAAAGAAAAUUAACAAAUAUGAUACAUUAAAAGGGGUAUAUUUUUCCAAACAUAUCAUUCAAGAGGGCAAAAUGCCUAUUAUUAUAGUUUAGGGGAUAAAUUGUAACUGGGUAAAUAGUUUAUAGGGAUUUUUUUGCAUUUAACCCUUUAUCAAACGAAAAAAUUGUAAUUUAUUAUUCCUAAUAGAUAUAUAUAUUUUGAAAAAAUUACUUUUUAUUAGAUAUAUUUUGCAAUAUAUAUAUAUUACACAUUGUCAUUACUUUUUUUAAAACAAAAAUUUGAUAGAAUCUCCCCUUAAAAGUCUAAUUACUUUAUUUAAUGCUCACAAGAGCUUAGCGAAGGCUUUUAUUGUGAAAAAUUGGAAGUUUUAUGGAUGAAAUGGAAAAUUAAGGUUUCGGUGAGAAGGGGGAAGAGUAAAUCUGGAAACGGAGGAACCGAGCCCUCGGUUUCAGACAUAUUGCCAAAGGAUCCGAGCACGGAUCGGUUCUUGAAGCCCUCGGAUCCCACAAGCCUCGGAUCCGUCUCACCAGGAACACAGACGAUCCCUCGGAUCCGGCCGGGUUUACUUGGAUCCGAGCUCGUAUCUUAUGGAUCCGGGGUCGGAUUUGUCUGGAUUGACUUCGAUCUGACCUCGGAUCUUACUUCCUCUGCACUAACUGCAGAAAGUGCCAUUUGCCAAACUUUUUCUCCCUUUUCCAAACUAAUUGUCAGACUAACCAUGGCAAGCUAAUGCGACUCAAACCGAAAGAACAACAACGAUUCAUAAAUUGCCAAAACAUAACAGCCAGCUCAAUUCAGCAAAACAAAAAUCAUGUUGUAACAACAAACAAACUGACAAACAAAAAAAAGAGAUAAAUUCAUACCUCUUAUGGCAAAUUGGGAGGGAGGGGGGAGAUGCACGGAUUCCAGACAGCUUGGCAGGAAUGGGACAGGUUGGUUUCAGCGGUUUUUUGAAUUGGGUUUCAGACUGAGCUUUGUUGCCUUUUUUCUUUGUUGGUUUUUUUCUUUUCCGCAGAACAAUAAUGCGAGGUACAUGACCUCGCAUUUCUGAAAUGCGAGGUACAUACAACUCGCAUUUGUGAAAUGCGAGGUCAUGUACCUCGCAUUUCUGAAAUGCGAGGUUACCUAUUUUUUUUUUAUUUUUUUUUUUACUUUCGCUGUUACAAAAUUUAAGGACAGUUCGCAUUUAUCAAAUGCGAGCUCAAGGAGCUCGCAUUUGAUAAAUGCGAACACCCCAAAAACAGAAACCAGUACACAAAAUACCCCCUUUGUAGAAUUUUUUUAAAAAUCAUAAUAAUUUUAGAAAUUUCUCGUAUUUAACUUGAGGUGGUCAAACACUUCAUACAUAUCAACUUUACCAAUGGUUUAGUACCCCAGCAUAAGCUGGAUAUCAGUAGUGCUUGACUAUGAAAACUAUAUCCAUGAAUCUGAGUUCAUAAUGCAUGCCAGAUGCACAUCAAUUUUUACAUUUUUAACAUCUGUUCAUACAAAUGCUCCAACCAAAAAAAUCAAUGUGACCCUUUUUUUUUUUUCUUGAACCAACCAGCAUCUAUAAUAUUGCAAACACAAGGGACCACCAUCUUAUUGAAAAGAGACAAAAAUUUCAGCUUUAGCACUUUAUUUAACUAUUCAUUUAGAGUUUAGAAUAAAUACCAUAAUUUAGGAAAGGUCGAUCGUUCAGUUUCUUCUUUCGCAAGGACGUUUUUCUUCAAUGAGAUUCUCCACGGAUCCACUUUUACCAAUCUUCUAGCCCGCCGAUUGUCUGGUUGAUAACAGUGAGAAUAGCUGAAAAAUUCUUAGUUCCGACAGAAACGUGGGCCGCUGUACUUAAACGCUCGGGAGAGCCCGGCACCACAAGGUUGCUAAAGAAAGAGAAAAGAAUGAAAAAGUGUCUGGAUAGCAAAUUAUUCUAAAUAAUAUUUUACUUGCAUUAUAAACACAUUUUUAAAUCAACUUUUUUAUAUUCCUAACUAUAUUUUUAUUUUACAUACAUCAUAUUACAAAAAGUGCUAUAUUAAUUAUUUCAAAUAAUACUCUAUCCAAACUUUCUCCUUUUUUUUUUGUUACAACAAGUUAUACUAACGAAGCGUGCUUUUCACGUGACCACUUUCCAUAUAAUUUCAUGAGUUUUUUAUCAAUUGUCCUAAAUCGAUAAAAAUCGACAAUGUUCGAGGAAUAAAUGUGUUUUGGUGAAAGUGAAAUUUUGAGGAUGAAAUUGAUCUAUCACCCGAUUAUUAGGGACGAAAAGUGCAUUUUUUCCUAGAGCUGGCAUCCCACCCUACCCCGCACGUAGGGUUUGCAUUUAAAAACAUUUAUGAACUUCAACUCCAUUUUUUGUUUUGCUUAUAUAAUGUGCAGGUCGAUGAAAAUAGAUUAAUGGGACUAUACUUUACGGGCUGAUGAUGCAUGCAGGAUUUCCUCUACUUAAUCAUCAAGUAGACCAGAAAUAUUCCCAAUCACCAACCGCCUAAAGCGCCACUAUUUCAAAGCCUUCACAGCACGCCUUCAGCCUCAAUUGUAACAUUUUCCAAACCCCAAAAAAAAAAAUCACCCCGUCAAAAGCGCCACUUUAGAACACGCCUUAACAAUAACACCAAAAAAAAAAACCCUUUGAAUCAAAACCGUCACACACUCCGCCAUUCCUCUGCAAUACCCAAACCCCACUGUCCUCUCCUUCUCCCAGCUGAUUCUGACUCACUGAGUUUAACCGAGUUCACCGGGUUUGCAGCCGUUCCAAACCUCCAAUUUCACGAGGAAAGAAAAGAUGCGAGCUAUCCAUCGAUUCGUGUCGCGUUUCUCCAUUAACCGUUGUUCCAAAAAUCAACCCACAUUCAAAACCCGUAUUCCUUUCUCUCUUUCCGAAAAACCCUUCUCUUCAAACCCUCCUUCGAAUAACGAUAAAAGUACGACUUCCGGUUUGGGCAGCAGCUUCGGCGUUCCUUCCGGCGAUGGCGGCGGCGGCGGCGGCAGCAGCGACAACUUGGGGUGGGAUAACCCAAGUUCUUCCUCAUGGUCUACUGGCCUGACCAAAGAACACUUUGACGGCGAAGUAGUCGGACAGCAGGUGAGCCCUGGAUUGGGCCCGAACCCGGCUCGGCCAGAAGGUGGAAUGGGAGUCGGAGGCAGUGGUAUGGGGCAGGCGCGGUGGACGGAUGAGGAGAUGAUGCGCAUUAGGAGGUUACAGGCCGAGAAUAGGAAAAGUAGAGCGUUUGUGGAAGGAUGGAAGAACAGGAUGGUGGAGAUGAGUGUCCUGAUGAAGCAAGUGAGAGAGCCUGGGGCUCGAGGAUCAUAUUUGAAGGACUCGGAGAAGGCUGAGAUGUAUCGGAAACAUAAGGAGAAUCCCGAAGUAUAUACGGUGGAGAGGCUUGCCAAGGACUACAGGGUUAUGAGGCAAAGGGUCCAUGCGAUUUUAUGGCUGAAAGAACAGGAGGAAGAGGAAGAGAAGAAGUUAGGCCACAAGUUGGACGAUUCGGUUGAGCUUUUGUUGGAUGCAUGCCCCGAGUAAGUUAACUACUUUUCAUCAGAAAUUUCGUAGGAAAAGUAGUCUUUUUAUUGAUUAAUGAUGCUGUUAAUUGGUUUCGAGAAUGUUGAGUUCUACUAUGAAAUGCUUUGUUGUAACAGUUAGUUUUUUGAGGGGCUUCUACCCAGGACAAGCAAUUAGAGGCCUUGUUAAUGGCAAUUGGAAGAGACUCUCCUGCUGCUAAUGCAACUAGGAAUUGACACCUUAUUAUCCUAAUUUCUAGUGCCACUUAAUUAGGCUAUGCAUCCGGUUCUGUAUUCUUUCUUUCUAACUGAUGUUGGAGAUUCUGUUGUCAUAUAUUGCUUAGUGUUAUGUCAUUUAUGUGAAUUUGGAAGUAGUUUUCUACCAUAUACAAGGUGUUUUUAGGAAGAGGAGAAGCUAUCACCCUAUAGUGUUUACUUUAUUAGGUUUGAAGUUCUGUGUUUAGAUGGUUGAUGUUUUGUUUGUCAUAAUAGUUCUUACUAUUGGGUAAUAGUUGAGGCUCAGAUGUUUGGUUGGAGUUUUGAUCUCUAUGUUACUGAGGUUGAAGUUUUUUUGGUCAUUUCUUGCUUAAUAUGCUUUGAAUUGGGAAGCAGAUUCCAGUGCUGGAUAUAAUGUAUUUAGGAUGAGAAGAUAUUAAAUUAUAAUAUUUUGAUACGUGUGCCUUUGUAUAGGUGAAAUUAGGUAGCAGAAAUUGAAGCUUCUUUCUCCUGAAUAAUGAGCUGUUGGUUUUUGACGGUUCGAGUUGAUUAACAUUCUUUUAAGAAAAUAAUGAAUGUGCGUGUUAGCAGUUUGCUGCUUGAUACUUCUACUUAUCAAUGUUAGUGAACAUUAAUUUGCAAGUGGGCCUUCAAAAUUUGGAGUGCCAUGUUGGAUUUAAAUCAUAGGGAACAUUCUAAAAUAGGAGAUAAUUCCCAUGCGGUUAAACUUUUUUUUGUGCCAUAUUAUUUGGAGGAAGGAUUGGUCUGGUGUGUUCUUACAGAGUCAGAGUUGUCUGGAAUGUGCUCAAAAACUAGUUAUUAAUAUUCUGUGUGAACUCUGAUUCUUGAUGUCAAUAUUUACUGGCUUUGUGUAUUCUAAUUUUCUGUGUGAACUCUGGAAUGGGCCCAAACCCAACACGGCCCAAAAAUUUGUCAGAUUGUUUCACUUCCCUGUUUCUUAAUGCCAUCUUGUGGACUCACAUAAUUGUCCAACUUUUAGUUGCUUCUUCAGCCAUUGGCUGAUCUCUGCAUAGUUUGCGCUGGUCCUGUCUCUCUGUAUUCCUUAGGUUUGAUUCAUAUUUUGAAUUACAUCACACUGUUAGUGAAACUUUUGAACUGUUAUGUCUUUGUUAUUAACUUUCUAUUGUAAAUGGACUUCUGUUCACACAGUUUGACUCCAAGCAAUAAAGGAACCAGGCUUCCUUAACUUGACACUGAGAUGCUACAUGCAUUAUGAAUUUGGAUGUUUAUUGACUCUGUGAAAUGGGAAAUGUGGAUAUGUUUGUUUGGUGUAUUUUAUUUUUCUCUCUUCGCAUACUUUACUUUGCUUCAGAUGAUCAAUGUUGCUUGCAUUCCGAUGUUUAACUUGCACAUUGAUUUUCUUGAGGUGCAUCAUGCACUGUAUUGUUUCCGAUGCUUGUGUCAAAACUAAUGUUAACUGAUCCCUAUUUUUAUCUCAUAACAAAAUUUUGAAAAGUUAUAGAGCUUGCAUCUAUUCGACUGUCUCGUGUAUUUUUCCUCUUUGGUUGUGAAAUGGUGCCAACUUUGAUUGAUCAUAGCUGAUGAAUGACGUCAAUAGAUUUAUCAGUUCACAAGUAAUUUCACCUUAACAUCUGAGGCUGAUAUGGUUCUCAGCUCAGAUAAACCUAAAAAGGCACAAGAUACUGUAAUCUAGGUUCAUUUGUAUGAUGGUAAGGAGGAAUGUUCCUUCUCAUCUUGCUGACAAGAAGUUCAACUUGGUUAUAUUUUCCAUCGUACAAUUGUUUUUUGCAAGUCUAAAUGAUCUUUUCUGAGUCAAUUAUUUACUUUGCCUGUCCUAAUAUUGAGUUUGUAACUGCACCUGUUCGGGAUUAGAAAAGUCAUUUAAUAAGUUUGUGGUAUGUUUUCUGCUCUUAUGUGUUAGUUCUGAAGCUGCUAACCAUUAAGUUUCCAUGUUUUGCAUAAAUUUUGUCUGCAGAAGCCUCUGAUAUCCAUGAAAAUUCUGGCAGAAGUUCGAAGACUAGAGUUCCUGAAAGUUAUACAAUUCAGUGGUUUACGUUUUCAAACAAUUAUCUACAGGAUCUUGCUGCUGAGUUUGGUGGAUGUUACAUUGUUUGGACUGCAUGUUAUAACAUAUUUCUGUUGGACUUCACUGUAACCAACUGUUAGUCCACCUGUACUCCCAUGUGUUCACAACUUAUGUGCUCUGUUGUGCUAAUAUAAAUUUCUUUAUGACACUGGUUUUUUAGUUAUUUACUCGACAUUGUUUACUGCAUGAUCAUCUUUGCCACCAAUUCAACGUUCCAUGCGAAGAUAACUUUUUCUUUGUGGUGUAGUGUGUGAUUUCUCUUUAUGAAACUGACAUGGUUGGCUAUCUGUUUUCUUGUUUCCCUAAUUCAGAAUUUAUGGUUCUGCAGAUUUUUCAAUUCUCAUGAUAGGGAGUUUCAUGUUGCAUCUCUUCCUUACAAGCCGGACUUCAAAGUGUUGCCUGAAGGUUGGGAUGGCACAACUCGGGACCCUGAUGAGGUCCAUUAUGAAAUAUCCAUGAAGGAAGACGAGAUGCUAUAUCAAGAGUUUCUCCAGAGAUUUAACUUCAACAAAAUGAAGGUAAGCUUGUAACCUGGUCAUCUACCUUGGUAAUGGGAUACUAGUGUCUGUGAUAAAAUGAAAAGAAAGGAAAGAGAUGUUUUCUGGUCUUGAUAGUUGUCAGUUGGACAUACCAGAAAGGGAAAGAAGACAUUGAAAUGGAGGAAAUUAGCAAGUCUAUGAAACUGUAUGCGCAUUGGAAUGAAUCUGCGGUUGCUCAUCUUGAAGAUGAGUCAUGAUUGCUUGAUCCUUUUGAAGGACCAUGCUUUUAUUCACUCUUCUUAUUCUGCAAGUCUGCAUUUCAAUCUUAAAAUUUUCAUUACCUAGAGAUUCCUCUUUAAAAGGACCUAAAGUUUGUCCUGAUUCUGGUUAAUGUUUUUUUUCUUCUUACCAAGUCUGGGUUAUUAAGAGAAAUUAUAUAGGUUUGAAUCCAGUUUGAAUUUGUAGGAAAUCAGUAGUAACACCUAAUUGGUGGGAGAACUACAAGAAUAACGUUUGCUUAGGGGUAAUUUGAAGGGAAUAACAGUGAUUUCUAACAAUUUAGAAAAGAUUAUCUUGUCAGUGCAGCUUCAAGCAUGCAUUCUUCUACACUUGUAGUUGAUAAAUUUCGACUUUUCUCGAGUAAUUUAUUUUGCUUGGAUUUUGCAGAUGGCUAAGCUGGUGAAAUGCCACAAGUAUAGCCGGAGGCGGCCAUCUGAAGGAUGGAACUACACAGUUGAGAAACUAGGUCCACGGGGCAAGCGGGGAAAUGGUGGUGGCUGGAAAUUUGUCAGCGCCCCAGACGGUUCCACCAGACCUCUAAAUGAGUACGAAAAGAUGUUUGUGAGGAGAGAGACUCCUCGCAGACGGAGAAGAAUUCUUCCGUGAUAUUGGUUGCAGAUGAAUGCAAAGUCAUCUGAUGAUUUCAGGAAGCUUAGUUAGUCAAUGAGGAUGUUCUGGAUAUCUUCUUUUCUGUAUUCAUCUUCUCCUGAAUUUUGUACCAGCUCAUGGAAGCUAAUCAUGUUUACCACUGCAAUCUCUUUGUAGAUUAUCCUUUCAUUCUGCUAUACUAGUGACUCUAAGAGCUGUGCAGUGGAAAACAGCAUGACAUGAGCUCCUCUUUCUCCCUAUUUUUUAUUGUAACUCAUAGUCAUUGCCUAACAAUUUAGCAGUCCAUUUCUGUUGCAUGGAAGUGGAGAUCCUUUGAUCCAGCGGGUACUUGAGGUUUUGGUGAUCGGUUUUAAUGACUAAAUGUCUGCCUAUCAUUUCUUGGUCUCCAAUUUUGCACACCACACGCUACUGCUAGCAUUUUCCUUUCAUACAGAGACAUCCCUUGAUGUUUAUGGGCCAAAAUUCCUUCUGAAAUGAGCAAGUGGCUUGGAAUUCCAGGAAAUACAUUGACACAAUUGAUGCAGAAGCUAGUACAAGUUCCUAGUCUCUAAUUCCAGGAAUAACAGUAAUGAAGAAUACUCCUACUACAAGAAAUGAGAAAUUGUAUCGCAAUAAUGAAAUUGAGAAAAAAGAAGAAUGCAAGGGAAGAUGGACCUUUCCAGACUGAUAUCUGCCCUUCCUUCUUAGUUCCCACUUAUUACAUCAAGAACCCCAGAACCUAACUGACGAGUAGUUAUCAGAAUAAAAUAAAAGUACAACCCUUGAAGCUAUAGCAAAGGUGGUCAUAUGAAUCAUUGGUGCAUCAGAUGGAUAUCUAUUUGGGAUUUCAUUUCAUGUUUUUAUUUGGUUAACGUACUCUGAAAUUCAGCUGGUCUAAAUUAGUUGAUUGGAACUACGCUUGACGUUGCAAAAUCUAAUGCAGCUCGAUCUUCAUUUUGGCAAAUUGUCAUGCUUUUAUUCUAACUACUGAUCAACUAUGCUACUCUCUUUGGAAUUGCAUGCCUGUCUUGGUUCCUGUUUGAUAAAAAAGCCAAUUUAUUGACAAAUUUCCACCAGGAUGAAGUGAAUAUAUCCGUUAAAAUUUUAAGUUUGUUUUAGAGAAGCCUCUGAAUUAAAGGAAAAACUUGUGUGAUGCCUUGGAGUCACUUAAUCUUGGUCCACGCGGAGUCACUUAAGUUAGAUGUAACUUUUGGAGGAAUAUGAAUUAAAUCAAGAGUACUGUUAGUGUAGUUACACUAGCAGGAUUAAUUCAUGUUACAUAACCCCUGAAAUCAAAUUUGAAAUUUAAAUCAUACACAUAUGACAUACAUCCAUAGUUGCCACGGUAAGAAAUCAUGAAAUCAUGCACAUGUGACAUACAUCCAUAGUUGCUAGAGUAAGAAAAUCACUACACUGUCUAUACAUCAUGUAAAUAUAACAUACAUCCAUAACUACUAAAGUAAGAAAAUCACGAGAUUAUGCAUAUCUGACAUAUAUUCAUAACUGUUAGAGUAAAAAAAUCACUACACUAUCAGUGCAUCAUGCACAUGUAACAUACAUCCAUAGCUGAUAUAGUAAAAAAAAUCACUACAUGCUCAUGUAACAUAUAUUCAUAGCUACUAGAGUAAAAAAAUUACUAUACUGUCAGUACAUCAUGCACAUGUAGUCACUAUAGUCAAAAAGUCACGAGUAAGAAAAUCACCACACUAUUAGUGUAUAAAAAAUUAAUCACUAUAGUUAGAAAAUCACUAUUAGUGUACAAUUUUUUUUACACUAGUAGGAUUAGUUCAUGUUACAUAACGUUAAUUCAAAUUUGAAAUUUAAAUUAUACACAUAUGACAUACGUCCAUAGUUAUUACGGUAAGAAAAUCACGAAAUCAUGUAUAUGUGACAUACAUUCAUAGGUGCUAGAGUAAGAAAAUCACCACACUGUCCGUACAUCAUGCACAUGUGAUAUACAUCCAUAACUGUUAGAAUAAUAAAAUCACUACACCAUUAGUGCAGCAUGCACAUGUAAUAUACAUUCAUAGCCGAUAGAGUAAAAACAUCACUACGCACGCAUAUGACAUAUAUUCAUAGCUAUUAAUGUUAGAGUAAAAAUAUUAUUAUAGUGUUAGUGCAUCAUGUAUAUACAACAUACAUCCAUACCCGCUAUAGUAAGAAAAUCAACAAAAAUUAAUGAAUUGAAUGGAUUUUGUGUAUUGGAUACAACGAAACUUCCUCCAAUUGAUAUGGAUUCUAUGUAUUAGGAAGGGGGGGGGGGGGAUUCCGUUUUUUGUGUAGUCUCACCAAUUAGACAACUUUGAUUCUCAUAAUUUAAAAACUCUUUUAAGUAACUCAAAAGUAGAACCAGCCGGUGUGUUGAUGCUGCCCAGGAUCGAACUGGGGACCUUUAGUGUGUAAGACUAACGUGAUAACCACUACACCACAGCAUCUGAUUGGCCAUUCGUUUCUAACAUCUGAUUGGCCAUCCGUUUCUAAUAUCAUUAUGAGCACAACCAUUUUUCCCUUUCUCAAUGUUAUCAACAGGUUGAAGUAAUCUAAUCAUAAUCUUGUGCUUCCAACGCCUAACUCAAUUGGCAAGAAAAUUAGCUGAGUAAAAAAAAAAAUCUGAUGUCUCAUCUAAAUUUUGUUUUUCGUUGGCCCUUGAAUAAUUAAAAUUAUACACUUUAAGAACUUUAAAUGACUUUAGGCAUAAAUUUGAUCGGAUUUAAGGGGCAUUUUGUUCAUUUGUAAUUGAAGUUUUCAGACUAGCAUCAGAAAUCCUAAAAAGAGGUGACCCUUCAAUUUGUUAAGCACACCAUUAGAUUUUUUUUUUUACAAAUCCUCAAAAAAAUUGAGUUUUAACUAUAAGAAAAAAAAAACCUUGCACCAUGGCUUGCGUACGGUGUUUUUUUCAGCAAUUUAAAAGAUUCACUGUCAAAAUCUUUUGGGUAAAACUUGAUUUUCAUAGUAUUUGUAAAGAAAAAUGUAAUGGUGUGCUUAAGAAAUUGAAAGGUUACCUCUUUUAGGGUUUUUUAUUUUGGUCUCGAUGCUUCAAUUAUGAAUGCACAAAAAUGCCCUUUAAAUCUGGCCAAAUUUAAACCUAAAAUCACCGGAAGUUCUUAAAGUAUGUUGUUUCAAUUAUUCAAGGACCAAUCGGAAACAAAAUUUAAAUGAGGGGAUAAAAGUAAACAACAUCAAUAGUUUUGGAACUCCCGUUUUAUCCAAAUUAGCUAGGUUACUACGAAGUUACCUCCUCUCCCAUUUCUCUUAUAAAGUUUGAAUAAAAGCAUCAUUUCCUAAAUAAAAAGUGGUAUACGUUAUCAAAUUCAGGUAUUUUGUAAAUACAAUGUCUUAUCUACUGUUCUAUGAUAAAAUUGCAAUAAAUUACUUUAAUUCACACGGGUAAUGCUCAGUGGUAACACAUUGGAGGGGGUUUUGGAACUCAGUGCUCUAAAUUUAAUUUGUCACUAAAAUUGACAAUUAGAGUUCUAUGUUAUCAUAGGCAUAUUUGGAUUUACUUCAUUUUGGUGUUAAAAAGUAUUUACAAAUUUUAGAUGAUUUUUCUAAACCUAAAAAUGUUUAAAUUUUGUCUUCCAAAGAAUAUAUAGUUUUUUUUUUUGGCAAAUUUCCAAGCCUAUGUUCUUAUUCCGGGAGGACUCAAAUUUAAAGAGUUCCAAGGCCAUGCUAUUAGUAUUACUAGUCUUUUUUUUUUUAAUCAUGCUUUAUUUAUAUAUAAGAGAUGGAUAUUUCAAGCUUUUUCACUUGUUUUUCUGCUAAUUAAAAGCUACGCAUUUAUUAUAAUAGAAAAACGUAUAAUAAAUUAACAUAUGGAGAAAUUGUUGUUAAUGUACAUUUAUUAAUUAAUUUUACUUUACCCCAGGGCAUAUAUCAUAUAUGUAUAGUACUAUUUAAACACCAAAUAAGCUCUCAAAAAAAAAAAGGAAUCAAGAACAAAUUGAAAUUUAUUUUCAUGUUGCUAAAAACGGAACAAACUUUUUUGAAUUUUCUUGUUAUCAAAUAAGCUCUCAAAAACAAAAGGAAUCAAGAACAAAUUGAAAUAUAUUUUCAUGUUGCUAAAAAACGGAACAAACAUUUUUUAAUUUUCUUGUUUCAAGGGGAGCCAAAUUGAAAUACUUUCACUUAUAUAGGGGUUCAAUCAAUCAAAAUCAAUUUGGAGAGCCAAAAUGAAAUUUAACCCAAUUGCUUUUUCCAAUUCCAACCCAAAUAGGACCCAUAUUCCAUAAACCGAUCUACAACAACAGCCCAUAUACACAUGGAUCUAAAACCCGACCCGUCUGGGAAUGUUUACUUGAAGGAGAGGAAAACUCUCACAUAAACAAAUAAAAGUAGUACCCAAAUUCAUCGGCUUCCAAUUUUCACUUUUCAUCUUUCAUUAAUCAAAAUCCAGGAAAAAAAUUAACGAAAAUGGUAUGUGAUUUUGAGUUUGUUUUUCUUGUCAUUAGGUUAUUUUAAUUUGUUUAUUCAAUUAAUCUUCUGGGAAUUGGAAAUUUCUGCAGAUUGUGGACUCUUCUUCUCCAGCUCCCACUAAGAAUAGCUUACUACUCAGUUCGGAAGCCGAUUUGCAGAGAACUCAGUAAUGUUUUCUCUCGCUUGUUCUCAUUUUUUGUAUUUAUUCAUUAAUUUGCUGAGUUAUAGAUUUAUUUGUUUAAAGUGGAGGAGAUCACUUGUUAUCUAGGGUUUUUCUUAAUUAAGUAGGGUUUGUGGUUAAAGCAAUAAGUUUAGAUUUUUUUUUAAAGGUAAUAACUUUGGAAUUUCUCUGAUUUUGAGAGUUUCGUUGUGGGAUUCUCAUGUAUAGGGUGGUUUUUUAGAUUAAUAAUUUUUGUGGGAUUUCUUGUAUGUUGAAUUGAAAUUAUGGGUUUUUUAAAUAGGACACCUUAUGUGACUGGGACGUCUGUGAUUGCGAUUAAGUAUAAGGAUGGCAUUCUUAUUGCUGCUGAUAUGGGAGGUCAGAUUACUCACUACAUUUUUUUUUAAUCUAUAUAUGUUUCUCUGUGUGUCUGUGUGUGUUUAUGUGUGUGCGUGCGCGUGCGCGUGCAGUUGUGGCCUGCAGAAGUAGCUUUGUUGUGUGGGUGUGCAAUGGAUGGACAUUAGUGUGUGAAUUUGAAGAUAAAGCUGUACUUUUUGCAAUAUGAUUGUAUACUCCUAGCUUAGCAUUGACUUUGGAAGCAAGUUAAGCAAGGAAAUAAAAGAGCUGUGGUUGCUGCUUAUAACGAAUCAAAGUUGAUGCUGUGGACCAUUGAUCUGUAACUUGGAUUUUGGGUCUGCUUUUGCGAACAUUUUGUAUUUUUUUUAGUUGCUCUUAUUUACAUAGCAUUCUAAGAUUUGAAUAGGGCCGUCAAGUUAGUGUGGCUUUAGAAUAUUGCUCCAAUGAAGUUGUAGAAUGACUUGUUUUUAUCAUGUACACAUCUUUUUUGUAUUAUGUACACAUCAGUAGAGAAUAAGAUUUGGAUCUCAUUUCUUUUGAGAACCUGUCAAUAAGAUUUGAUAUGUGCACUGUCUAAUAUGUCUUUAAGUAUUGUAACUGUUGGAGGUCGAUGGAGUCAAUUUACUGGACUGAUUGAAGUCUUAAUAGUAAAAAUACAAUAUUGAAGUGAUAAUAGACUCCUCUUAAAAGAGGAGUACAUAAAGUACAAUAAAUGUAAACACGAGAAAAAGCAAUCAAAAGGACGGGAAAUUUAGAUUUCAAAAGCUGUUUGGUUAGAAGCUAGAUAUCAUGCUAUAACUCCAAGGCAACUGAACAAAUUGUUCCAGAGGUGUAAAACACUGUAAUGCAAUUAAUAAUCUCGUAUCUUGGAAGUAUUUCAGCUUAGAAAGAUCAAAGAAAUCAGCUGUACAUUGAAGUUAGGAACACUAUCAAAACAAGAAGAAAGCAAGGGGGUGCACGCUUGAUAGAAGCAAAUUUUGAUAGUGAAUUUGCAAAGAUUUGUUUAUGCACAUCAGCCAUUGUGCUUCAUCUGUUAGUAGCUUAUCAGAUCACAUUAACUGAAAACAUAGUAAUGUUAAAUAAUAACUAAAUCUGCAAAGCAAGAUUGGUUGGACAAGUGAACCAGCUCAAACAACUGUCACUGCUAGGAGGACAGGAAUAAAAGAUGUAAAUGAAAAUGCUGCUAAUGAACCGAAAGAACCUGUUAUCAUACUUCGCAUUUUGGCUACAGAAACUCUUAUUUGUCUGUCUUCAUAUGAAGAUUGUUCUGAUUUAGUGUAAAGUUGUUCUAGCAAACAAUUUAGCAAAGUAAUACGAUUCUGACACUCAAGUGCAAUAAUUUCUGUAUUGAUGGCACGGGGUACCGUGGUGUUUGUUUGUUUUGGAAACUGCUGAGUCUUACGAAAAUGUUGUAUACUGUAAGGAUGAAAUAUCCUACUCAAGUUGUUGUGUCAUGUAAUACAACUUUCCCAUCUUCAGGCUCUUAUGGAUCAACCCUUCGUUACAAAAAUGUGGAGCGAAUAAAGCCAGUAGGAAAACAUUCUCUUAUCGGGGCAAGUGGAGAAAUCAGUGAUUUCCAGGAGAUUUUGCGUUAUCUUGAUGAGCUAAUGUAAGUGUCUAUCCUGGUCUGGUCGAAAGGUUUCAGUUAAGAAACAAUGAGUUGGAAGCAUUUCCAUUUUGCCUUUGCCUGUGUUUUUGUCAAUCAGGUUUAGCUAGUAAUGCAAAUAGUUUGGUUAAAAGCAGUUUUCAUUGUAGUAAAUCCUUAUCAUCUCUACUCCUGGCUGCAGGCUAAAUGAUAGCAUGUGGGAUGAUGGAAAUUCCUUGGGCCCUAAAGAGGUUCAUAAUUAUUUAACCCGAGUGAUGUACAAUCGUCGCAAUAAGUUUAAUCCUCUGUGGAAUUCUCUUAUUCUUGGAGGAGUGAAAAAUGGACAGAAGUACCUUGGAACGGUAAUCCCUAAAUUGCAUACAUAAGUUGUUUAGCAAUUACCAUUUAUUCAGUAGAUAUCUUCUUGACAUAUGUGAUGGUUCUUCAGGUUAAUAUGAUUGGUGUACAUUAUGAGGAUAAUCAUGUUGCAACUGGUUUUGGUAAUCACCUUGCACGACCCAUUCUCAGGGAGGAAUGGAAUGAAAACUUGACCUUUGAAGAAGGUGUCAAGCUAUUGGAGAAGUGCAUGCGCGUCCUCCUUUAUCGUGAUAGAUCAGCUGUGAACAAACUCCAGGUAUGGUUAUUUUUGUGAUAGUCUGCAAUGAUGAUAGCUUCUUGAUUGUGUGUUUUAACCCAUAUUAUAUGCUAGUGUUUUGUAUUAUUUCCUUUGAUACAAUUUUAUUCUUUU
This 83594-nucleotide long non-coding RNA is filed under the name Coffea arabica (coffee). Its description in RNAcentral is "long non-coding RNA (CARA_LNC000659)". Lineage: Eukaryota; Viridiplantae; Streptophyta; Magnoliopsida; Gentianales; Rubiaceae. The record is from RNAcentral.